Molecule: long non-coding RNA, 60369 nt
Filed under: Brassica napus (rape)
Lineage: Eukaryota; Viridiplantae; Streptophyta; Magnoliopsida; Brassicales; Brassicaceae
Description: long non-coding RNA (BNAP_LNC004240)
Source: RNAcentral
GAAAUAACAUUUCCCUGAUGGUACCCAAAGGUUAGAGCUCCCCGUGUCGAAAAUCACUGUGAACUUCUGUGGUGGAGUACCGAUAGCAAUCUCACCAUAGUACUGAGCAUCCAAGUAGUUCUUCAACGCAACGAUGUCAGCAUCUCCAGCAUUCUUGUCGUUUGAACGGAACUCUUUUAAGGAAGAUCGAAAGGCUUUUUCUUGCUUGGAACCAAAGCGUGUGGCAAGUCGAUUGGUAGGAUCCAACUUCAGUUUUUUCAGGCCAACUCUUAAUGUUCCGUCAUUGCUCUCAGAAGAAGCGGAGAAAAACACCAAGAAGGACACAAAGAGUGAAGUAACCGAGUAUGCACCCAUCUUUGACCUAUGAAUUAGUUGACAUCAAUUGAUAGAAAAAAAACAUUAGUUGACAUCAAUAGACAAAAAGACUCAAUUUAAUUAGAUCAACGAGCUAAAAUAAAUUACGAGUUAAAAUGAACAUGCAACUCAACUAUCAACCCUAUUUACAGAAGAAAAAAUAGUUAAUGACAAGUGUGUAGUUUAAACAAGUAAAAAACACACAGGAUUUUGUAAAAUGAAAGAGAACCUUUUUAAUUGAAGGGAUUAUGAUAUGAAAGGGACUUUAGACAUCAAUGAUUUCUUAUAGCUGAUCUCGUCUCCAUUAUAAGAAAAAGAUCCUCAGAAAAUCGUAAAUCAACCACAAAUCAGUAACAAAACUAGACAUUUUAAUUAAUUAAUCAAAGCAAAUAACCUGAGGACAACAAAAUCAAGAAUCUUUCAUUACAAAACAAGAAAAAAGACUGCAUCAGCAAAAAAAAAAAAAAGAAGAAAAAAGUUGUCAAAACGAAGGAGACGACGGAGGAAUCUACGACGGUCAUGCCUAUAAAUUACCUCUUGGAAGCUGCAGCGGCUGUAGGGUCUGAACGGAGCAAAUGUGCUCCGACAUCGGAGACUCCACCGUCAGAGGAGGAGGAAGAAGAAUCAAAUGAUGAAGAGAAAGAACCGGAUAACGGCGAUGAAGAUGGCGAUGUGCAUGCGGGGGUGAAUGAUGAAGAGAAAUAAGAGGGUUCCGAUAAAGAAACUGAAGGGGACGCGACUGGUUCUGAUGAAGAAGAAAAUGAUGGUGAGGCGGAUGGCUCUGAUGAGGGAGACGACGAAGAGGAGCCUGAAAGCGAGGAUGUUGCCUCGGAUGAGGAGAAUGAAGUUGAGACUAAUGCCUCUGUGGAAACAUUCCUGGAAAUAGCGAGGCAGAUUUAGUAGAUGAGGAUGGAAAUAAGGGUUUAGAAGAUGGAAACAAGGAUGGAAACAUCGAGGAGGAAUCAGUAGAUGUCGAAGAAGAGAAAGGGCAGGAAGAGGUAAGAAUUUAGGAUAGGAUUAAGGUUUCCUUAGUAAUUUGGUUUGAAUGUUAAUGUUUCGGUGAAGGAAAACUAGGAUUUAUGGGUAUAAUUGGUCGUAAUACUAGAACAACUAGGUGAAACAAUGUGAAAUGGUAAAAUUAGUAAUAACUAAGUAUACUAGGAAUACUUGAAUAACUUAGUAAAACUAUUUUGGAAAAACUUGUAUAACUAUGUACAACUAAAUGUUACUUGCAGGAAAUCGAGGCUACUGAGGCAAUCAAGACAAGUACGAUUUUCUUCUAUGAAUCGGAGUACAAGAAACAGAUAAAGUUAGGUACAAGGUGUAUGAUAGUUGACGUUAUCGAGAUGCUUUUGUCUCUGGAUUCGCCGGCAAGUGAUGCGGAGAGGAGGUGGUUUGAGGAGCAUCCACAAUUCUGUCACUUGUUCCACAAGAAACUGGAUGCAGAUGCACAAGAAAAUUUUAAGAAGAACAAGAAGAGGAGCUCGAACCACAAGUUUCAUGGAAUGUGGAUGUUGUUACUGCGUACUGUCGAUGUCUCGAAGAGGAGAGAAGUGUGGUUCAUUGUCAAUGGUGUUCCCAUCCGUUAUGGGCUGAGGGAACACACAUUGAUACCAGGCCUAAACUGCCGCAACUAUCCUCUCGGUUACAAGGAGUUUGGUAAUAAGAAGUUUGUGAAGCGUCAUUUCAAGGGGGGAGAAUUAAUAAGGUUGGAGGAUGUGAAAGCAAAGCUGUUGGGAAUGAGAGCUCAUAAAGACAGGCUGAAGAUGAUGGUUCUCUUCUUUUUAGGAAGUGUUGUUUGCGCGCAAACGAAAGUUGGUGAAGGAGCCCAUGAUGUAUUGGAUUUUUUUCAAAGAGCGGUGGAUGAUCUUGGAUACUGCAAGACGUUUCCAUGGGGGAAGUACUCCUUUGAUUAUAUGGUUAAGGAGAUCUCUCACACAAUGGAUCAUUUUGGAGAAUUUGUGAAAGAGAAGACGUUAUGGCCACUUCAAGGUUUCUGUCUUCCACUAGAGGUAAGUAAAUAGAAGUUUAGAACAUUAUCAAUUUUUUUAUUAUUGUUUUGUUAAGUUUUAUAAAAUGUUGGAUUUGUAGCUUCUUGCUUUCGAGGCAAUUCCUCAACUGGGAAAGAGGUUUAGACAACCGGUUGAAGGAGCUGAUCCAGAGUGUCUGAGGAUGUGCCAGUCCACGUUCAAAAAGACAGAAAUGAAAGGGUUUCCUCUUGCAAGUGUUAAUCAAGAACUAGAUAGGGUAAAGGUAAGUGUUUCCUUCUUCGCCCUGCAAAUUUUAUUUGUAAUUGCCAUAUUAGGUAGGUAAAACAUGGGAAAAUUUGGUAAAACUGUAUGCGUAAAACAAUAAAAAACCUAAGAAAACUAUAUAGAACUGCGAUACUUUGGUAAAAAUGUAUGCGUAAAACAAUGGAAACUUAAGAAAACUAUAUAGAACUAGGAUGCUUUAGUAAACUUUUUUCUUUUUGUUGUUAGCCGCAUGAUAUUGACAGCAUCCUUCCUACCAGGAAUGAAGAAGAAAAAGUUCUUUUGGAUGCUCUCACGGAAGAGGAUGACGAUGCUGAUGAGCCUGGUAUUGCUAUGGACAGCUGGGUUAAGCGUAUUAACGAAAGAUAUUCUAUCUUUUUUGAAGACAUGUAUGAAGAUGACAUCGAAGCUCGAAAAGAAAAUGCAGAACAUGCAGUCCUUAAAGACAUUGCGCUAGUGGAAGAAGUGGCAGAACAGAAGAAGAUGUUGGAGGAUUUGAUCAAGAAAGUGGAAAGUCUUGGAAAUCAGCUAGAGAGCGUGUUGAAGACACUGGACAAGUUUGAGGAAAGAUUGGGCCCGCUUGAGUCGUUUGGGAAGGAAGCGCAUAAGGGAUUGAAAAAGGGAUCGAAGAAGAAGGGAUCGAAGAAGAAGUGACGUAGUUGGUGUUUCAUCUCGGAUUAUGUAUUUUAAGAACAUGAAUGUUGUUGGUUGCAAAAACUCUAUUCUAGGAACCUUAAUGCUGUUGCUUGCAAAACCCUGUUUUGGAACCUUAAUGUUGCUUAUCUAUUUCCAUUUUAUGUUUCUGUUUUAGAGUAGGAAAUUAACAACAAUGCACAAGUCUUGAACAAGAAACAACUUACGAACAGCUCAAGAGUAAGAGUAAGAGGAAGAUCACAGAUUAAAGAUAAGGAAUUAUGGAGUUUUACAAGUCUUACACAAGGAACAACCACAAAAUAAAGAAGACUUGUAAGAUCAGCCGAAAUAACAAACAAUAAAUUGUUCCCAACAACAAACUGGAUCCGAAUCAGACAUGAACAACAACAUUACUAACGACAUUACUUUAAGAUUCGAACACGCUUGAGCUGAUCCUUGAGCUCAGCGAUCUCUGCAGCCAUUUCAUCAACACGUGUUAGUAAGCCCUUAACCUUAUCAUGGAUCGCGAAGACCCAAGGUUGACGAAAGUGGAGUCCAUCAUCCUGCAAAUAGAACCCGAUUCAUACAUAAGAAAAUUAACACAAUCAUCACAUGAUUCAAAUCAAAACUCUAAUAUAUGAAAAAUACCUCAAAGUUGUCGCAGAUGAAGUAUUUCCUUCCCCGCAGAGUAUCUUGAUGAAUGUCUUGAUGAUACAAUCCAACAUUGGUAUUAAUGCCCACCUCCUUGCCUCUCAAAACACGAUGUUCAUUGAUUCCACACUGUUGCUUGUGUCCAAGUUGUACCUGUCACGUGGAAAAAAAACUCUUGCCCAUUUGUCUUUUUCAGUUUUCUCCUCCACAUACUUCCAAGCCGAAGGAUUUCUUCUUUUAAACGAUUCGUAGGCAGAGUCCAAGUCAGCCAUGGUGUAAUAUCUUCCCAAUUCCAUGAAUCUAUGCCCGACUACAUCUUUGUUGACAUUACAAGCAUGCCCUUUCACAUUUUCUUUAAAAUGCCAUAAACAAUGGUCAUUGUGAGCCUGUGGAUACACGUUUGCUGCUGCAAAGAUUAGGCUUUGAUUUCUACCAGUCAUGAAAACCAGUUCAGAAGAGUCUGAUAUAGCUAUCUUAAGCAUCUCGAAAAACCAAGUCCAGCUAGCAUGAUUCUCUCCAUCUAGUACUACCAACGCUAGUGGAUAAUGGUGACGAUUUGGAUCUUGAGCUUUGGCAAAAACUAGAACACUUCCAUAUCCGUUCUUCAGCAAUAACGCAUCCACAACUAUCACUUUCCUCAUGACUGCAAAACCCUCAAUGCAAGCUCCCAAGGCUAUGAAGAGGUAUUUGAAUUUACCUACCUCAUUCAAUUUCACAUCGGUUGUUGUUCCCGGAUUCACUUGCUUUAACAUGUACAAAUAGCUAUACAUCAUCUUGUAGCUUAUCUUCCGGAUUACCAUGUUGAUCACAAACCGCCAGAUUCUUUCCGCGCAACGCUGUCGAGUAUGAUAUCAUUACCCCAAGUUUGAACUUAACAAGACCCUUAAUAACCUUCGGACUUGGGGACUUGGAGUUUCCAAACCUCUCGGGAAUUCCCCAUUCAAAAAGGCUGACACUAGUUCUGCUGACCCUUUUCGCUUAUCGUUGCUGUCACUUUGACUAGUCUGAGAGCAUGUAUGCUUAUUCCUGUAGCUCCUAAUCGAAAAAAUGUAUGUCCUGAGGAAUCUUUGCAGCUCGUAAUCCCCAUUUACAGCUAGCUUGCGAACAUCCAAUCACCAAUCGUCUACGAUCAGACUUUUUGGUGAAAUAAUGAUAGCAUUCACUAAAAGCAGCUCUAUCGACGAUCUCCUGAAUUACGCUCUUACAUGGAAAUUCGUCAUGCUUACACAGACUCAAACCAUCACCCCAUUCCUUUAUAUACUUAGUCGAUUUUAUGGCUGGUGGUUGUUCAACAAACUUAUCAGCGGUUGGAACAGCGGUAUCUGUCUCUGCAGUAGUGUUAGUGUCUGCAGUGUUAUCAGCCUCCAUAACAGUAUCCGUCUCCAUAGUGGCAUCCGUCUCCCCAGUGGCAUCCGUCUCCACAGUGGCAUCAUCAUUAUUCCCACCCUCUAUCGCCUCGUUAUUUCCCUGCUUGUAUUCUACGUACAAAGUUAUGGCUUUAGCUCCAAUUUCAUCCUCCAAUGCCUGCAACUCUUACCCACGAGAGUUUAUCUACAGGUCCCGGUUCCACUAUUGGUUUCAUUGUUUCUAAUAUUUGUCCCGAUCUUCCACUACUCUUCACAACCAAAAGACUUCUUCGGUUGUCUUUAUCCAUGCCGGUUAGGUAAACAAAAAGAUCUUCAUCAUCAACAAUAUUUAAAGGUGUCUCACAUCCUACCACCAGCGGCAUGUAGCUCAAUUCCAGUUAUUCCUUGCUUUCAACCAACCCAAGCUUCUUAUACAUCCUCUCUUCUAUCAUUGACAAAGUCGUACCCCCCACUGAUGUCUUCAGGGUUAUACUAAACAUCCGGUCUUUGAAUUUAAAAUGUACGCUGACAUGAUUGCUCAUUGUAUCCUGCCAAAAGAAAUGAACAAACUCAACAAACUGACUAGAGUUAUCUACAGUUCUACCAGUUGUUCCGAGUUAUUCCAAGUUAACUAUAGUUCUACCACUUGUUCAGAGUUUUCCCAAGUUAUCCACAGUUCAAUCAACAAAAAAUUGAAUUACGUAUCGGGUGUGAACCGAUCUAGACCCUUGCCAAUACACUCCCAUUCAACCACUGAAAUGCAUUUUGUACCACUUUACUAUACUGAUUCAACCACUGAAAUGCAUUUUGUACCACUUUACUAUACUGAUUGACCCAGACACGAAACAAUGCCAUUGUGCAUUACUCCUAAAUCGAAUCACAAUUCAAUUACGAUGAAAGCCCGAGGCGGAGACCACAACUUACCGGCUUCGACGGAACGCUAGACGUCCUAAUUUGCUUUCCCAUAUUUUUGGAUACCCUAAUUUGCAACUCUUGAAUCCUUGUCCCCAGAUCGCAAAUCUCAUCCAAAUAUUGACACACCAUAAAACCCCAAACAUAAUCCCUAACUUUCUUCGCUUUGAUUCAGUAUUGUAUCGACAAAUAAUAUAGAUUGUUUUUUAGGCUUUAAUUAUUUAGUUGAAAGAGAUAACAAAAACGGCAAUAUAUAGUUUGUUGGAAUAAAAAGAUUUUGUGGAAAAUAAAGAUAAUUAAAAGUAUAGGUUUUAAUUAAAGCAAUGGCAUGGCUCCGUAAAUAUUAUUAAAACAAAAAGGCACUUAAAAAAAGAGUCAUCUGUUUUAAAAGUAUUGAUGUAUAGAUAUAGUACUUUACUUAUUGGGUAGAUGACCUUAAGAGUUAGAUAUAUGAUGUCUUUUGCAGAAGGAAAAGUAUCUCCAAAGCUUUAACAUGUCUUCCUUUUUUAAUGGCAAACACCAAAGCUAUACACAUCUUAUUAACUUAUAAGAUAAAAAAAAGUAGAGCAUAAAUCAAAUUCUUAAACAGCUUUGAUCAUAACUAGCUUCAGGAUUAAAAGUAGAUAAAACAACUUAUCACCGGAUGAAGAACAGAAACACUUAACUUAGCAUCGGAAUAUUUACAGAAGCAGAGAUUUUAACACAAGGCAGAUGAGAAGGGAGAGAGUUUAACUCAAGUCAACAAGUGCAAAUAGGUUUCACAUCACAACACACAACAAAAUAUUUACAGAAACAGAGUUUAACACAAGUCAGAUGAGAAGGGAGAUAGUUUAACACAAGUCGGCAAGUGCAAAGAGGUUUCACAUCACAACACACAACAAAAGCUUUCAUACAAACACAUAACAAAAGAAACCGAACCGAGUUUGUUAUUUGUUUACGCAGCUUCUGCGAAGCCAACCUGCUCGUUUCCAAAGUGAAAGACAGUGUGGUAUCUCCCCAUAAACACAUCUCCCAGUAUCCUAGUACAAAAGUCAAGAAUCAAGAUUUAGAUGAAUCUCACACUCGCAGUGUUAAGAUUUAGUUGAUAUUUGUUUGCAUUUCCAUUUAGAAUUAAGGUAUGUUUUUUUCCACAACCAAAAACAUUUUAAACAAAACUUAUUUUGUUAGUUGUAAAUGUAAACGCCAAAUGAAUCCAUAAAUCAUAUUUGAAACAAUCAAAAGCCUAGAUGAAUGUACUUGAGAAGUAAUAAUUGAGAAGGAAAUACUGCUCAAGUAUUAUUUUUUUAUGCCUAGAGAGUUUACCAGAGAGGUCCACGAGGUGGAGGCAAGUCAAGCGCGGUAAAUCCACUGAUGCAUUGUGCCACUGGUCCUUCUCCAAUCUUCAGUACGUACUAUUAAUCCCACAAACGCCAUCAGCAAGAUAUGUUCAGAAUGCUACAAAGGCUCAUCAAGUCUCAAACAUAAAUGUACUCAAACAAGUACCUCUUCUGGAGCAAGAUCAAAGACUUUGCCUCCAAUGGUGAAUGAAACAGUAGGCAUUUUAGAGAGUUGUGAGCAGUCAACUGCAGACUCUCCAUUAGGACUCGGCAUGCGUUCGCAUAUCUGAGGAUUUUUAAGGAAUUCUAGGAUGAGAACAAAGAAGAAUUCCACUGCUAUUUUUCAAGAAACACAAUAUAAAUUGUUAUUGUGAUAGACACUUGUUCUUCUUACAUCAUUAAUGUAGUUCACUAUACGCUUUUGAGUCAUGUUCUGCAUUAACUGGCUCUGUAUCCACACAACUGCCAUUUCACAUGGAGCACAACCAGCAUCUCGGAGACCACUAGAUGAUUUUGUGCUUUCCUUGUCCACCACUGACUCAAUCCCCAUACUAAACAUAACACAAUAACACUCAAUAAAUACAAGAAGACUGCGAAAGCGUGUGUAUAUUAUUGUUAUGUUUAUAGAUAUAGGGAUUUUACCUGACCCCAUGGGUGCCAUCGAAUGUGCAAAGACCAAUCUGUGAGCAGAUAUGCUUUGGUUGAGCCUGAAAGUAGAAAAAAGAGUUUUAUAUGUAGAAUCCUGAUAUGCGUUCUCGACGAUUCUCUGAGUUCAUCUUUUACCAAGUUAAUUAUAUUCUUACCUUAGCCAAAAGUAAAUCCAAAAUGGAUUGUCCAUACUGAUCAACAACAGUUUUGCAUUGCUGGCUAACAACUCCAGAUGCUCCUAUAGCUUUAUUUAUCAUGGCAAUCACAGCCUAGCAAAACCAAAAACAAAAAGAUCAAGCAUAUAUACCAACAAACUUAAAAUUUUAUAAGACCCUCGAUGAUUGUUGAUUACUGUUGGCCCUGCAAGUAACGAUGUUCCAGAAUCUGCUAUUGCAGAACAACCAUUUUCACAGUAUCCUGUUACAAAAGAGAAUCAUGUUUCAAUAACUAAUAUGGAUGAAUGUAACACGAAUACACGAUAUGUAACUAAUACACGCACCAGUAGAUUUGCCGGCAAUGAGAACCUCACCCAUAUCAAACUAUUACCAAAAUAAUAACUUAAAUGAGACGUGACUAAUAAAAAUUCAUGGCAAAUCAAGAACACAAUGAACAAACCUGCCAGUAACCCCUUCGUGUAACAGGAACAUAUGUGUGUUCUCCCUUAAAGUGCUUUGGAUCAACACCGCCAAAUACAAGUUCACCGCCUUCUUCACUCUUUGUGUCACGGUUAAGCCAAAAUGAAAACACUGGUUUCUUGAUAAGACCUUGCUUGAGCAUAUUGUACCUGGAACAAACCUGCCAGUAACCCCUUCGUGUAACAGGAACAUAUGUGUGUUCUCCCUUAAAGUGCUUUGGAUCAACACCGCCAAAUAUAAGUUCACCGCCUUCUUCACUCUUUGUGUCACGGUUAAGCCAAAAUGAAAACACUGGUUUCUUGAUAAGACCUUGCUUGAGCAUAUUGUACCUGUAAAAAACAUAAAACUGUUGUCACUAAUGGGGUGUGUGUAAGUAAGUAAGUAACCACAAUCCAAAAUAGUGCACGCAUACCAAACAGGAGUGGCGUUUCCAACAGAGAUCUCUUGGAAUCCAAGACCAAGAAGACCAUCAAACUUAGCCACCAAGAAAGUUAAACCAGGCUCACUGGUUGCCUCAAUAAACUCCUAAACAACAUAGGCAAUAUGCAGAAAGUAAAGUCAAAUCGAUAGAAAAAAUAUGAGCAUUAAAAGAAGUGUAGGACAUAUAAUUCACCUGAUUUUUGACAACUAAGUCACCAACCGUGACAGCAUCAUAACUGAAGAAACCAGAGAUGGAUCCAGAUCCGUAAUGGAUUGCUGCACGUUUUCCUGGAAUAUACAAUUUUAGAGCUUAUCAACAUCAAUUAUUAAUGUAGGGUUAAGUAGCACAAAACGAAAGAAUCAAAAGAGAAAACGUACCACUCUCCUUGUAAGUGCUUGACCGCGAGGACUUGUACUUGGAAUGAAAGAAACAAGACAGCUAGAUAAAGUAAACAACACAAUAAGUUUUCUCUUAAACUAAUCACAUUUAACAAUUGUAAACUAAAUGCUAAAAUAAAAGCUUACCGAGAAAUAACAUUUCCCUGAUGGUACCCAAAGGUUAGAGCUCCCCGUGUCGAAAAUCACUGUGAACUUCUGUGGUGGAGUACCGAUAGCAAUCUCACCAUAGUACUGAGCAUCCAAGUAGUUCUUCAACGCAACGAUGUCAGCAUCUCCAGCAUUCUUGUCGUUUGAACGGAACUCUUUUAAGGAAGAUCGAAAGGCUUUUUCUUGCUUGGAACCAAAGCGUGUGGCAAGUCGAUUGGUAGGAUCCAACUUCAGUUUUUUCAGGCCAACUCUUAAUGUUCCGUCAUUGCUCUCAGAAGAAGCGGAGAAAAACACCAAGAAGGACACAAAGAGUGAAGUAACCGAGUAUGCACCCAUCUUUGACCUAUGAAUUAGUUGACAUCAAUUGAUAGAAAAAAAACAUUAGUUGACAUCAAUAGACAAAAAGACUCAAUUUAAUUAGAUCAACGAGCUAAAAUAAAUUACGAGUUAAAAUGAACAUGCAACUCAACUAUCAACCCUAUUUACAGAAGAAAAAAUAGUUAAUGACAAGUGUGUAGUUUAAACAAGUAAAAAACACACAGGAUUUUGUAAAAUGAAAGAGAACCUUUUUAAUUGAAGGGAUUAUGAUAUGAAAGGGACUUUAGACAUCAAUGAUUUCUUAUAGCUGAUCUCGUCUCCAUUAUAAGAAAAAGAUCCUCAGAAAAUCGUAAAUCAACCACAAAUCAGUAACAAAACUAGACAUUUUAAUUAAUUAAUCAAAGCAAAUAACCUGAGGACAACAAAAUCAAGAAUCUUUCAUUACAAAACAAGAAAAAAGACUGCAUCAGCAAAAAAAAAAAAACGGGGAUCUAUCACCUUAGAAAACAACACUAUGGUUGCAGAAUCAAACAAACCUUUAAGCUCCAAACACAUAACCAAAUAAGACGACAAGUACAUCACAAAACAGACAUGCAAAACAGCCCAACAUUCAAGAAACAAAUAUACAAGAGAAUAUUAUCAUGGUUCAUGCAAACCACAAUCACUCGAAUCAAAGAACAUGGAAAAGAAAAAGAAAACAAUAGUAUCACAUUGCCAGUCUUGAGACAACACUCGGAUUUUAUAGUCAGACCUGAAUUUAGAAAACGAGAAAUGGUAAUGAGAUUAAUAUAACUCAGAACUGACGAGAGCGUUAAGCACUCACCAGAGGCUUCAGGAGAUUUCUCAGAAUCAUGUGAGACUAAAAAAUAAACAGUUUCAAUUAUCGAAGAAAAGAUUGCUAAUAUGCCGCCACGACAUGCACAGCGGGUCCCACAAAAAAUAAGCAACUAAAUAUUUUUCAAUUUUGGCCGUUGGAUCUAUCAGAUUAAAGAUUUUACCGUUGAUGGUGUAAUAACUAAUAAGCAAUGGUCAACAACUUUGUUUGUAGUGUCAAGAUCUGGCCUGGCCCGGGCGUUUUUACCCCAACUCAAAAUACCUAUCUAAACCCAAAAAUCAGAUCCAAACUGUUAUACAAAAUAUUCGAACGGGAUUUAUGCGCUUAGUACUUUGGAGUUUGGUUAUAACCCAAACCGAACCGAAAUUCACACUAGAAUCUGAAGAUAUCCGAAACUAGUUAAAUAUGUUAAUGUUUCUAUAUAUGUUAAGGUGAUUUAGAUAUUUUAGAUUAUUCAAAAUAUUUUUAUAGUUUGUUUUAUUUGUUAUUUUGAAUAUUUUUAGUUAAUUUGGAUAGUUUAACUAAUUUUUAAAUAAAUUUGUGAAUAAUUUCUAUAUUUUUUUAAAAAAAAUUAUCAAUUUUCAGGUUUUAAAAAUAUAUUUUGGACGGUUUCAAACAUUGUUUACAAUUCGAUCCGAACCGAACCCGGAAGAAACCGAACUGAACCCGACCUGAUAAUUAGUAAAAGUUGAACGAGACUUAUGAGCAUAACACUGAAAAUUCGAAUCAACCAAACCGAACCCGAACACCUAGACCUGGUCGAGAUGUUUCGAGCUUUAAUUUAUAUCCUUUCGAGUUCUUAACCGUUGGUUUAGACACUGUCAGGGGCCAAUAUAUUAUAACUUACUCGGCCCAUAAAUUUGAGAAAUAAAUGUAUAGAAAUCACGAGUUAGGACAAUCCUUCUCUUUGUAUGACACGAUAUCCAAAAUUCAAGUGUAGAGAAUCCUAUGUGUUAUCGCAUUGCUUGCCCGUAAUACACUAGUGAUAUUGACAGUGGGAGUGAUUGCAAUCGCUCAAAUUACGUACCGAGAAUUUUUGAAAAUGUAAAACUUCUUAAAGCAUAUACUUUUGUUCUUUCAAUAGCCGGCCAAAUGAUUGCAUGAUCAUCGGUCUACUCUACCUCAGUUCACCAUUUCGAACUCUAUAUCCACUUUUUUGGGAGUAUAUUUAUGUACUUUCUUAUGAUCACGUUUAAAUAGAUUAAAUAAAAAUCACUUUAUUUUCUUAAAAAUGCGGAUUACGACAAAAAAAAAAGUUUACAAAUUGUAAAACGCUUAAUUUUGUCAAUGAAAAACAUAAUCGUUUGAUUAUUCCCACUAAGGAUUUAAAACUUAAUACAAUAUAAAUAUAAAUAAAUAUAUUAAUGUUUAGAAUCUUACUAGUUAAUAUUUUAAUUGCAUUGCUUACAAAUUUUAGAUAAAAUGGUUAUUCAAUUAACUCAGGAUGGUCAUCCCUUAAUUCAUUGAUAUAUUCGCUCACCUUCAAGAAUCUAUACACAAUCCAAAAAAUAUUUCACUAUUAACCAUUUAAUUAGUGUUUGAUUUCAUACAAAAUAUUGUAAAGCAAAUAGCUAAAAAUUCCUUUUUUUUACGUCAAACGGUCAUUCUAUUACUCAAGCUUGAAGUGGACUGGGUAAUCAGACCGGAAUAGAACAACCAAUAAAAUGUAACUUUCUAUGGAAUGAUCUAGCAGUCUUAGCUAAAAAAUCUGAAACUGAUUACGCGCUCGUGGAACAUGAAUGAUGUUGAAAUAUUUUAAAAAAUAUUUUAAAGCCCCUUCAACUUAUAUUAAACUAGAAUUGAGCCCAUGCUUUGCAUGGGAAUUAUUUUGCUGACAAAUAAAAUAAAAUUUUAAUUAUAUAUAAUUAAAACCAAAAUAACAUGUAUUAUUUACCUUUGAUUUAUCAGAAGGAUAUGUGUAUAUAUAAGAAACUUUUAACACACUUAUCAUUAUUUAACCACAAACAUACUAUAAAAUGAAGUUAGAUUUGUUUAAAUAUUUGAUCUUAGUUAGCUUGUUUGAUAUAAAUAUUAGUUCAAAGCUUUCCCGUUUUUCGACUUUUUGUUGCUUUCAUUAUUUUCCUAAUUUUUUACAGUGGCCUGCAAUUAUGUUUCUUUGACUAAAUCCAUUUAGUAAUUCAUUAAGUAUGUUAAUUUACGAACAAAACUAAUACUAUAACUCUAAUAAAGAAAAUAAAAAUAGAAUGUAACAGAGAAUAGGUGAUCUUUAUGCUUAACUAAGAGUUGGUCCGUCCUACGGACGGAUGAGUUUACAUUAAAACUAUUUUCUAUUAAAAUAUAUUUUAAUUUUAUAAAAUAUUUGAAAUUUUACUUUAUACUGGAAAUAAUAAAUGUAAUAUGUUUUUUCCAAAAAUAAAUAUGUUUUUAUUCUAAAAUUACUGUAAAUUUCAUUAAAUUUUGUUGAUUUGAGUUGAAAAAACCAUUAAAAAAGUUUAUUUUGUUAGAGAACUCAAAAUUAUAAAAUUAAAAGUUUAAUGAAAAUGCAAUGAUUUCUAUUGUGCUCGAUACCAGCUAGAAAACAAAGCCGUAAGAUUCAAAUACCCAAUCAGAUGGAGAAUCAGACUUUACCAAUGUCAUACUUAAAAUUAAACAAAAUUAUAACGGAAAUGAUUGUUGCAUGCUUAUAUAUUCGAGACUGAAGAUCGAUCCAAUAAUAAUAGUACAUUAAGUACAAAGUUACAUAAGAAAAUUAAAGAUACAUUACAUGUUCAGAUGCUUUACAAUUGUGGAAAGAUGUAGACUUGUUAGCUGUUUACAUGUUCAAAGCAUAUCACUUAUCCACCACUCCCAUUUGUACCUUCUCGUUUUGAACAGCAUGUGCGCAAGCUUACACCCAUAACUUUCUUCAGUCCAUUAACUUAGCUCCAACGGCGUUGUGACUUCUGAUGCUCUGAACCCAAGUAUAAGGCUCCCGUAAGAAGGCACAUAAUCAUUCCUCGACACUCUAGAACCGAACUCCAAACCAGGAAACAUAGUCUUGUGACUCUUUUGUAUUCCGAGGAGCUCCACCCUAGGUCUUCUGGUGGAGUGCUCAUGCCUGGCACAGUCUCUCUAUGGUUAAAACUUCUCAACCUAAGCUGUUUCACCAUUCCCAUCCUCAGGUUUUGCUAUCUUGCCGGGAUAGUUGUUAUUACAUAUUGUAGCUGAGUCCUUAACAUCGUUUCAUUGAAUUUCUCUGCAAUAUUUUUCUGGUGGAUCUUCUGAGCUGAGCACCUAGGCAGCUCUUCAACAGGAUCCUCAUUGUCAUAGUGACACCAAACAUAAGCUGCUGAUAUUAACAUCAAUGUGGAAAUUCUAUCAGAUAUGAAACUUCUUUUGUCUAAAUGACCACGACUGAUGUCUUUGAUAUUGAACGACCAUCCCAUUUGUCUCUAUGUUUGCCGAGAUAUAGAGUUUGAGGCUUCAAUAAAGUAAAAACAAAAGAACCCAUUUAACAGAGAUGCCAUAGAAGUCUAAAAUAGAAUCAUGAUAAUUGGGAAAGCUUUAUGAAAAACUGAAAUAUUUUUUUCAUAAAGUGAUAUUGUGGGAGGAGCAAGAAAUACCUUUGACGCCUCAUCAUGUUAACCCAUUCUCAUGAUAUCUUCAAGCAGGAAUUGAGCAAGAUCCACCUCUUUCCGGUUUUCCCCAACUUUGAGGUCUCUUUUUCCAUCUGCAGAACAUUAAACCUUAGUUAGCAUUAACCCAAACCACAGCUAGAAAAUUCAACAUUAAAAGAAAUAUAUGAAAGCUAUUUCUGCUUAUUCACAAAAGAACAAACCUUUUGUAUCUGAGAUCUUUUGUCCUCACUUUCAUUACACAAUCUCAGUUUGAGACAGGGUCAAACUUAAUAUGCUAUGUCAGUCCAGCUGUGAAUAUACACCAAUAGUCAAGCUAUUAACACAGAGAAAAAAAAUCAGUAAAAUAUAUAAUGGUCCCUUAAUACCUUUCUUGUUGAGCAUUGCAGUCUCUAUAACUGCUUUCUGGUGUUGAAUCCUUCGAGGCCACCUUGGAGAGCUUAUCCUCGUAAUAUCAGAGAUCCAUCGUUCGUUUGCAUCAAGACCAUCGUUCGUUUGCAUCAAGACUCUAUCUGAAGAAAUCUUCUACUGAAACCUGGUAAUCAGGAUGGCAUAGCAAACCUCCUGAGGCGUUAUGCGGGAUGAGUUGGGGGAGAGGAAGAGAAUCGACAAAGGGAUUGAGACGGUGCUUAGGGUUAGGGAGGAUGAGUGAUUUUUAGAUUUUAGAGAAACGGGAUCGAGUCGAUCCGUAUCAAGAGCGGCUCAGGAUUGGGCUGCGAGAUGGUUUAAAUGGGCUGCGAAGGUAACUUAACUUUUUUUUAUUUCAAGCCCAGUCCGCGAUGACCUGGGCAGAUUGAUUGGUGGAGAAUAUUUGUGCCCAUGCCCAUGUGGCACCCCUUAGAAGCUCCAAAAAUAGCCACUUUUAUAUAGUAGUGAUGUAUGCUAGUAUACUUUAAAAUCUAUAUGAUCAUUUACCAAAAACAUAUAUAUGGUCAAGGAUAAAGAAAAAUGAUCAUGGGUAAUAUAGUGGGUUUCAUGAAACUGUUAUACGGUUGUUUAUUUAUUUUUCUAAAUUAUUAUUUGUUUGAAUUAAUUUUUCUUAAAUUUGUAAAUAUUUAUUACCUAACAUAACAUGAUUCGUCAAGUGAGACUGUGUUUUUAUACAUAAAUGAUUAAUUUUGCAGCCAUAAUUUAGCAAAUUCCGUACCAUAGUAAAUGACACCAACAAAGAUCAUUUUUUGCUUUUAAAUUAUCUUUUUAAAGUUUUUAUUUGUUUUAGUCAAAACUAAACUUAUUUUAGGCACAUUUCUAGAAAUGGAUACCACCUACAAUUAUCAUAUUUGACACUUUGAUUUUAUUUGUGUUUAUGUAUAAAUAAGUUUACAAAAAUAUAAUUCUUAAAAAAAUAUAUAUCAUAAAAAUGAAAUAAAACAUGUAUGUACAUAGUCAAUUUUUAUAUAAGCGACUUACAAAAAAAAGUAAGAUAUUAGCGUAUGCUCUUUUAUAGAAAAGGAGAUUUGUGAAAUAGUAACCAUAACAAACAAAUUGUAAAUAUCUGAUUUAUAUAAUCAUAAUUGUUGAUAGUUUUUUUUUUCUUGGUGGAAUGGCAUUGCAUCAUUUGUUAAUCAUGAUAUAUGAUUUCUUCCAAGUUACAAAACCAAAACAGUGUUUUAUAAAGUGUAACCUAAAAGAGUGAAUCAAAGAACUAAACAUACCAUCUGUUUUUUAGAUUGUGUACGGUUCUGCUUUAGUUCUAAGUUUGUUGAGAGAAAGCUUGUUUGUCUUUUGUCUUCUUCCUUCAUUGCUGGCAAAGCUCUGAUUUUCCAAACUUUUAUUGAAAAAUAAAUCUUUGAAACAGAAUAUACUCUAGUGUCAUUUUAACCUGAGAUGAACAAUUAAGAGAUUAUUAAAUGAAAAUAAGAGAAAACUGAAUCUAAAUUAAGAAUAACCAUAAACUUUUAUAGAGUUUUCUAUCAGUCGAAGAACUCAAUAGAAAGAGAACCAUGAAGCUAUGGAGAAUAAGAGAGAGGGAGAAGGAAAGCGAUUAGUGAGUAAAAUUACGAUCAAAUGUACAUAAAGUAUUAAAACAGUUUCAGACUCAUAACUCACCUUUGAAUACACGAUGCUCUUGUGUGAGAGAUAAAAUUUAGAGAAAAGUAGAUUAAUUUAUAUAGGACACCAAGAAAACGGUUUAAAGAAAUAUAAUGUGGGAUUUAUGAAAAAAAUUAGGAAUAUAGUUAGUUGAAAAUUUAGAUUGCAUAACAAUAGGAGAUGAAUUUUUUUUAAAUUGUUUUAUAAAUUUUUUCCACAUAUCAGGAUUUAAUUUGUCAUGCGACUUGCGCUUUAAUAUAUAAAGGAUAUGUAUAUUUUUUAUGCUUACUUAUGCUCGGUAGACACGUGGACGAAACUAAGGGUUGAAAAUGGAUAAAAAUUAAUGAGGCAAUCCAAUCCAUAUAUUUAAAUGAUAGAAAAAAUUAGGUACAAAUGGUUUUGGAUAAAUUGGUUAAUAGACUUAGUGGAUUUGAUUAAAAUAGUUUAGACUGUAAUGAAUAAUGAGUUAUCAUCCAUAACCAAACCAGUAAAAAUUUAUAAAAAAUAAAUCAAUUCAAAUUAAAUUAAAUUAUAAGCAAAAAAUAUUCAAACUAAAUUUCUAAACAAUUUCACUACACUAAAUUUUAUUUAUUUUCUCAUAUACCUAAAUUAAUUUUAAUAAAACAAAAUCGAAUCCAACUUCUCACUUAUUUUAUUUGUGUCAAUAACCAAUUUCUCAUAUAUAUAAAUACUAUCUUUUGCUUUUUUUUUAAUAAGCCAAGUUUAAUAUUUUUUUACCAAAACUGUAAAAAUUAAGUCUUUCCACCAAAAUUGUAAAUUAUUUUUACACCAAAAUCACAAAAUCUCGCUUUCUCGCCGAAACCGCAAAUCAUGUUUCUCGUCAAAACCAUAAAAUCAUGUUUUCCCACCAAAACCGUAAAAUUAUGUGUUUCUCACAAAAACUGCAAAAUUUUAUUUUCAGCCGAAACCAUAAAAUAAAGUAUUCCCGCCAAAGUCACAAAAUCAUAUUUUCGAGCCUAAAUUGCAAAAUCAUAUUUUCCCCAAAAUCAAAAAUUUAUGUUUUUCCACAAAAAAAAUUGAAAAAUCAUGUUUUUCCACGAAAACCGCAAAAUCUUAUUUCCCACAAAAACCACAAAAUCGUGUUUCCAGCCAAACCGUAAAAUCAUGUUUUCCGCAAAAACCACAAAAUCGUUUUUUCCAACAACCCCGUAAAUUUAAGUUUUUCUUUCAAAACCAUAAGAUCAAGUUUUCUUGCCAAAACCAGAAUAUCAUGUUUUUCAUCAAAACCGCAAAUCAUGUUUUCCAGCUAAAACCAUAAAAUCGUGUUUUCUUGCCGUAACUAUAAAACUGAGUUUUCCCGCAAAAUCGCAAAAUCGUAUUUUCCUGCCAAAACCGAAAAAUCAUGCUCAUCCACCAAAUCGUAAUAUCGAGUUUUUCCGCAAAAACAAUAAAUUUAGUUUUUCACCAAAAUCAUAAAAUCAUACUUUCGGGCCAAAACCGCAAAAUCGUGUUUGCCCGCCAAAACUGUAAAAUCGAGAUUUCCCGCUAAACCAAAAAAUCGUGUUUUCUUGUCAAAACCGCAAAAUCUCAUUUUUUUCAUAAAAACUGUAAAAUCAAGUCUUUUCCGAAAUAACUGAAAAAUCGUGUUUUCUCACCCGAUCGGUAAAAUUGUGCUUUCCGCCAAAUAGUAAAAUUGUUUUUUUUCCUGCCAAAUAGUAAAAUUGUAUUUUCCACAAAACCAUUAAACCGUGUUUUUCAAAAUCUAAUCAAUAUUUUUAUUUUCAGCCCCAAAAUUAAUAUUUUUACUAAAUAACCACUUCAAUUAUAACAUUGUUAGUUAUGGGUUAACCAUUAAGUCAUUAACCUAAAUGAGUUAUGGAUUGACUCAAUCCAUUUGUCAAAGACUGAUUUACAGUCGCCGUCAAUUUUUUUUAUAUCACUAUAAGUCACUUAUUGCUACUGAGGUAGUUUUUGUGACUAAAUACCAAACUAUUGUCAACUAACCUUAUCUUCAGUAAAAUAAAGUGACCCCACAAUUUUUAAAGUUUGUCACUUUCCUUCUCUCCCUUGAUACAAUAUAAGCAAAUUUAAUUGUUUUAACACAAAUAUAGAAAUACAAUUGCAGAAAUAAAAGGGGCUUCGAUUUGUUAAAAAAAAAAAGAAUUGAAGCUUCGAGAUUGAAACGAAUGGAUCCGUGACGGUGAGGAUGAAGCUGAUGUAAAAGAUGAUGGAGACAAAAAAAAAAAGGUCAGCAUAGAUCUCUGGAGUCCCCGCAACUGUUCCUUGUCGUUGGAGGAGCUUUGAUCUAAACACGAGUGGAGGUGCAACAGUGAGGAUGAAGCUGAGUGUACGACGUUGGAAUGAAUGGCGGUGAUCCACUGUGAUGAUUUUGGCAUGUUAGGCCAAAAAACUUAGUUCAUCAACAUAAUUUUGUGUAGGUUUAAAUGUGUGAAAUCGAUUAUUAACAAAUAUUCUACAAAUUUGAUGCAAAAACGUUAAAUCACACAAAAGUUUGUUGAUUUAAAUUGAAAAAAUAGUUGAAAACUGUGGAAAUCAUGCAGAAAACCUAAAAACUAAUUGUGAGGUAGAAGAUAAUAUAAUUACAAUUUUGCCAUUAUUGAAAAGAAAAAAACAUAAAAGGUAAUAAAAAUGAGCUCUUGGCGAUUUGAACUACGGAGUUAAUUUCUAAAAUACUCUUUUAUUACCAACAGGCUUGAUUUAUAUAUACAAUUUCAUCUAAAAUCAAGAAAAAUAUUUAAAACUAAUUUUUGAAUAUUCUUUGAUUAAUCACUGAACUUUACUAACACAUAUGUAUAGAGUAUUUUAGAUAUCACAUUUUGAUAUUAUAUGACACGGUUUUUCUGCCAAAACCGUAAAAUCGUUUUCCCUUCAAAAUCACAUUUUUGUCAAACCCGCAAAAUCACAUUUCCCCGCCUAAACUAGAAAAUAAAUCAUACGGAAGGCGUCAUAUUGUAUCUGCUAGAUGUCUGGUUAGCAAAGGACUAAUCAAAAAGGUGGGAUCAGGAUCUUCUGUUUCAGUAUAAUAUGAUCCCUGACUCCCAACCACUCGCCUGAGACCAGCAAUUAGUAACCAACAAAACUUUUACCCUGAUAUUUUAGGGGACUCUCUCAUCAAUGCCACAUCACGGAUGUGGAAUACACAGGUCAUUUGGUCUCUGGUGGAGUCACAGGAAGCUAGCAAAGAUUAUAGAAAGUAUACUGUUAAGUAGGAGUCAGAUGGUCGAUCAAGAUGGAUGGCAUUUCACAAAAACAUGGAUAAUACACAGUGAAAUCGGGUUAUCAAGUGGAAAGGGUAUAUACAGAGAGAGAGAAAAAAAGUGACAACAUAUGGACCAGAUGUUACCCCUUUAAUGACUUUUUCUUGGAAAAUACGAUGUCCACCGAAAAUAAAACACUUUCUAUGGCAUAUAGUGUCAGGAUGUAUAUCGGUAAAGAAAAAUUUUCGAUCAUGAGGUUUACAAGGGGAUAUACAUUGUGCCCGAUGUGGAGCAGCGGAAGAACUACGUCUUUUUUUUGAAUGCCCACCGGUGGUACAGGUUUGAUACUCUCACAGGUCCCAUCGAAUCCAGAUACUUUUCCAUCUCAGUCACUUUUCACAAAUAUGGAUUACCUGUAUUGAAGGGUUUCAUCACGCAUGUCUGAUCAUCAAUUUGCUAGCAUUUUGUGGUAUAUUUGGGUAGAAAAAAUAAUAAGGUUUUUAGUAAUAUAUAUAUGGAUCACAGGGAUACUCUUAAAUUGACAGAGACAAAGUUUUUGAUUUGGCUAGGGACACAGAAAAUGAUCACUCAGAGGAUUACCCAAACAAGGGAAUUGGAGGUAAUAAGUUUACCUAAUAUUCUGGGAAGAUGGUGUUUCACGGAUAGGUCAUGGAAAGAUCAUGAUAUGUUAUUUGGGACAAGGCUGGUAUAGUACACUUGAAGGUUUUGAUAGACUGAUGGGGGCAAGGAACACGAGGGACAGUCUCUUACCACUUCAUUCAGAAGUAGGAAGCGCUUGUUUGGAAAAUAUAAUGUAUGAGAAAUUUAAGGUAGUGUCACGUCAAGUUUGCAACGGAUUGUUCUCUUCUCAAUUGGUGAAGAUGGUUUUCGAACCAGAGGAAUGAUCCGAAUUUGCAAGUUACUUGGAAGACAUCAAGAUCCUGAAAGAGUGUUUUACCCACUCGGAGGUCAUUCAUAUAUCACAGACGCAGAAUACAAGGGUGGACAGUCUUGUACGCAGUGCCAGAUCACAACUGUCGUUUAUCGUUAAUAUGGAUGCAGAGUUACCGGUUUGGUUUACUUAAUCUUAGCUGAGUCUGUUUAUGUUGAUGCCAAAAGAAAAACUUGAAAAUAAAUUUAGAGUUUUCAGCCCAAACCAAAAAAAAAAUAUUAGUUAACGAUUACAAAAUUUAUUAGAUAGUCACAUGAUAAUUUAGAUUUGCUAAUGAUAAAACAUGUGAACAUGUGUACUAUUUUGCCAUCUUAUCCACGUGUACAAUGUAUCAAGUUAUCUAUGUUUCAAGGUGUAUACUUGUAUCAAGCUAUCAAUGUAUCAAGGUGUACAAUGGUUUAUGUAUUUUUGAAAACGUGUUUUGCUUUGAGUACAUAUAAGAAAGGUGUAUGACUUGUAUGUGUAGAAAAAAUAGCCAUUGAUGCUCUAGAACCUCUCAUGACAGAUCCAAGCGUUGUGCUCGGACUUCUCAAGACGGUGCUAGGUGAGGUCACGAUGUUGGGAAAGAUGAGUUGACUAGAUAAUAUUUCUGGUGAUCCAAAGAAGAGAGUCGCCGAAGUCUCUACCGUUGACGUCGUCAUCAUCACUACACCACCAUCGACCCUGCAGAUUGAGAUAUUUCAAAAGAUAAAACCAGAGAAAAUAAUUAAAAACAAUUUCUGUAGAGAAAUAAAUUAUCAAGAAUCAGAUUUAAUUUACAAAACUUGCAGAGAAGUUGGGAGGAGGAAGACGCAGAAGAAAAAGGGGAAUUUGCCAAAACUAACUCACAACUUGAUUUGAACCCCAAACCUAUAGCCAAAUAUGAAUCAAAUGCAAAACUAACUUAAAGACCUUGUGAAAUUACAGCUCAGCCCCGUGUGACCAAACAAAAAAACAUAAGUUAUUUUUACGAAUAUAACCCUAGUAAGUCGUCUGAGUCGUCUAAGAUGUUGGAAGUUGUCUGGACAACUUCAAAGUAAGUCUUCUGGUGUAGCUGAUCUUAAAAAUAAUUUAUAAAUUUUUUAAAAAAUAUUUUGAUAAGCGAAAAAUUAAAAUCAUGUAAUUAUUUUAAGUGAUAUAAAUUAAAAUAUAACAAAACUGAAUUGUUUUCAACAUAGAAGCGUGUAGGUAGUGAAUCAUGGUAAUCUUUGGUCUAGGGUUUGACAACAUAUGUUGUACUAUUAUAUGUAUUCUUAGGGUUAGAUUUUGGAAAGCUUGAAUGUUUUUUUGAAAAAUUAAUUUUUUACCUAUACGUGUUUAUUUUUGUGUAUAGUAAACACUUUUGAAGUUUAAUUUAAUUUUAUGAAGUGUUUAGUUAGUUAAUUAAGUUUAGGGGUUAUAUUUAGGGUCUUGACGACUUACAUUUCAGUCGUCUGGUGAAGAAAUUAAAACAGACAACGUUUUUGGAUACGCAGGUUUUUCAGAUCUGGAUUUGAAGUCCAGAUGACUUCCAUGAACCUAAAAUUUUUAAAAAAAAUUAUUUUUCCGUUUAAAUAAUUUAAACCAGACGACAUACUUGUAAGUCAUCUGGAAGUCUUCUAUUUUAGUUUCCCGCUAAAAAUAUUUUAAUUUCCCGCUAAAAAUAUCAAACUCUUCUGGACGACUUACAAGUAAGUCGUCUAAGAAGUCGUCUGAAUCAAAAAUAUUUAACCUAAUUGGAUUUUUUGUCUCCCUAUAUAAAGAAAAAUUUACACAUUCUCUCUCCUCCUCUCAAAUGGCUGCAACAAACAUUUUGGUAAGUUUUUAUGUAUGAUUUUUUUCAUUUGGUAACUUCUUGUUGUAUAAAGUUCUUACUUUUUUCCCAAACUAAAACUCUCCAAACCCACUCUAAUCUCUUUGACUUGAAAACACCAAACUUUAUAUGAAUUUUUCAGUUUUGUCUCAUGUAUUUCUUACUAAUCUAUCUCUUUUGCAGGUUUUUAAUCAGAUGGUACUCAUCUUCCACUAAUUUAAAGGUAGAUCUAUUAAUUUUAGAUAUGUAUUUUUGUGUGUUCUAUAAAUGUAGAUUUAUCUAAUCUUCCACUCAUUUUCUCUAUUUUUAAGUCAUUUGAACGUUUUUGGAUAUGCAGGUUUUAAAGAUCUGGAUUUGAUAUGCAGGUUUUUCAGAUCUGGAAGACUUCUGGGACGACUUACCUGUUAGUCGUCUAAAAUAUAAUGCACUUGACGACUUCCAGGAAGUCUUCCAGACUACUUCCACUUCAGUCGUCUGGACUUCCUGAAAGUCGUCUGGACUUCCUGAAAGUCGACUGGACUUCCUGGAAGUCGUCUGGACUUCCUGAAAGUCUUCUGACAAAGUUUUCUUCCAUAUCAAGUGGAGUCCAAGCUUGUCUUUGUAGAGGAAUGAUCUAUAAUAGUUUUGUUUGUGGUCUGUUUUGUGAAUUGCAUGUCUACUCUUUUAGUUGUGAAUUUUUUGUAAAUUUUUUUGUAAAAUUAGUAAUAAUGUUUUCCAAGAUGGAAAACAUGUGCUAACAAUGUGUUUACACAUUUACAAAUCAAUAAAAUAAUAGACUUCAGUAGCCUUUUUCUUAUCGUUGGAUCUCUCAUAUGCAAUAAUAAACUCCAAUGGCCUUUUUCUCAUCUUAGUAAACAAGAAUGUUGGUAGCUUCAUAUUGAUACAACAUUUUAAGAAGCAUUUUAACCCUUCUUCCAAUUCAUAACAAUAAUCAUCAUUAUUGUCUAUAACAAUAAUACUUAAGAGAUGGAAACAAACAAUAGUAACUAGUCAAAGCAUAUAACAAUUCGAGACUACUUCCAUGUAAGUCUCUGCAUUGACCAGAAGACUUCCAUGUAAGUCGUCUACAACCAGACGUACUUCAUGCNNNNNNNNNNNNNNNNNNNNNNNNNNNNNNNNNNNNNNNNNNNNNNNNNNNNNNNNNNNNNNNNNNNNNNNNNNNNNNNNNNNNNNNNNNNNNNNNNNNNNNNNNNNNNNNNNNNNNNNNNNNNNNNNNNNNNNNNNNNNNNNNNNNNNNNNNNNNNNNNNNNNNNNNNNNNNNNNNNNNNNNNNNNNNNNNNNNNNNNNNNNNNNNNNNNNNNNNNNNNNNNNNNNNNNNNNNNNNNNNNNNNNNNNNNNNNNNNNNNNNNNNNNNNNNNNNNNNNNNNNNNNNNNNNNNNNNNNNNNNNNNNNNNNNNNNNNNNNNNNNNNNNNNNNNNNNNNNNNNNNNNNNNNNNNNNNNNNNNNNNNNNNNNNNNNNNNNNNNNNNNNNNNNNNNNNNNNNNNNNNNNNNNNNNNNNNNNNNNNNNNNNNNNNNNNNNNNNNNNNNNNNNNNNNNNNNNNNNNNNNNNNNNNNNNNNNNNNNNNNNNNNNNNNNNNNNNNNNNNNNNNNNNNNNNNNNNNNNNNNNNNNNNNNNNNNNNNNNNNNNNNNNNNNNNNNNNNNNNNNNNNNNNNNNNNNNNNNNNNNNNNNNNNNNNNNNNNNNNNNNNNNNNNNNNNNNNNNNNNNNNNNNNNNNNNNNNNNNNNNNNNNNNNNNNNNNNNNNNNNNNNNNNNNNNNNNNNNNNNNNNNNNNNNNNNNNNNNNNNNNNNNNNNNNNNNNNNNNNNNNNNNNNNNNNNNNNNNNNNNNNNNNNNNNNNNNNNNNNNNNNNNNNNNNNNNNNNNNNNNNNNNNNNNNNNNNNNNNNNNNNNNNNNNNNNNNNNNNNNNNNNNNNNNNNNNNNNNNNNNNNNNNNNNNNNNNNNNNNNNNNNNNNNNNNNNNNNNNNNNNNNNNNNNNNNNNNNNNNNNNNNNNNNNNNNNNNNNNNNNNNNNNNNNNNNNNNNNNNNNNNNNNNNNNNNNNNNNNNNNNNNNNNNNNNNNNNNNNNNNNNNNNNNNNNNNNNNNNNNNNNCUCCACAGACUCUGUGUUCAUGUCCAGGUUAUAAUCUUCUUGAGCCAUUGCAACAAGAUCAGCAUGUGUCGAACCUUCACUCAAAAAUAACAUUCUCGCUCCUUUGAAAUGAUCAACCACAAAAUGCCAAUAUCCAUCUUUCAACAACCAUUCUCCAUACACUGCAUGUAACUGACGCAUCAUAUGAAAAAGUCAAAAUAAAACACAUUAGCAAACUUAGAACAAAGAAAAUGAAAGUUUAUUAAAGAUCGAAGCGGACGACUUCAAUCUAAGUCCUCCUGACGACUAAAAUGUACGUCGUAUGGUCAACGCAGAGGUUAUUUUUGCAAUUGACUUUGAAAUCUGUUAUUUCAGACGACUGAAAAUAAGUCGUCUAUUUUUGUUUGGUUAAAAAAAACUCCAAAAAAGCUAGACGACUUACAUUUCAGUCGUCAUAGGUUAGUUUUGCAUUUGACUGGAUUAUUUCAGAAGUUUGACUUUCCUGGACGACUUACAUUUCAGUCGUCUCGUCAAAAUUAAAAUAUCAAGAUUUUUUUAAAACUAGACGACUUACAAUUAAGUCGUCAUAGGUUAGUUUUGCAAUUGAAAAAAAAAACUUCAAUAUUUAAUUAUAUAUAGACGACUUACAAUUCAGUUGUCCGUCAGACGACUUACUUGUAAGUCGUCCAGGAUUUACGAGGUUUGACCAGAAUCUCGGAAUAAAAUCAUGGACGACUUACAUGUAAGUCGUCGGGUGGAUGACUGAAUUGUAAGUCGUCCGGGUAUAAUUAAAUAUUGAAUUUUUUUUUUUCAAUUGCAAAACUAACCUAUAACGACUUAAUUGUAAGUCGUAUAAUGUUAAUAAAAUAUUGAUAUUUCAAUUUUCACCAGACGACUGAAAUGUAAGUCGUCCGGGAAAGUCAAACUUCUGAAAUAAUCAAGUCAAAUGCAAAACUGACCUAUGACCACUGAAAUGUAAGUCGUCUAGGUUCUUUGGAGAUUUUUUUGUAACCAAACAAAAUCAGACGACUUAACUUUCAGUCGUUUCAGAAAACAGAUUUCAAAGUCAAUUGCAAAAAUAACAUCUGCGUUGACCAGAUGACUUCCAGGUAAGUCGUCUACUGCCAGACGAAUUCCCAUGCACAUGUAAGUCGUAUGACGAACAUAUCUGGAAAAAAAUUCGAUUUCAUACCUUAAAUUGGUGAGAUAACUUCCUUAGCAUACAUAAGGCUUCUCCAAGCACACAGAAUCUCAAACGAAAGUGACCCAUCCAUAAUCGUUAGCGUCUAUGACUUUAUGAACCAUAAAAAAUGUAAAAUCAAAAUCUUGGGUUUUUUUAGCUCAAUGUGGAGAGAAAGUGAGAGAUAUGUUGUGUUUAGUUCAUAAGAAUGGAAAAAGAAGAAGAGUAACUCAAUUUUGGGAACAUUAAGAGCUUCAAAUUGGUUGUUCAUGGUGGUUAGGGUAUUGAUGACAAUGGUAAUCUUGUAAUUACUUGAAGAUGAUGAGGGUAAUAUUUAAUUAUAUAUAGACGACUUACAAUUCAGUUGUCCGUCAGACGACUUACUUGUAAGUCGUCCAGGAUUUACGAGGUUUGACCAGAAUCUCGGAAUAAAAUCAUGGACGACUUACAUGUAAGUCGUCGGGUGGAUGACUGAAUUGUAAGUCGUCCGGGUAUAAUUAAAUAUUGAAUUUUUUUUUUUCAAUUGCAAAACUAACCUAUAACGACUUAAUUGUAAGUCGUAUAAUGUUAAUAAAAUAUUGAUAUUUCAAUUUUCACCAGACGACUGAAAUGUAAGUCGUCCGGGAAAGUCAAACUUCUGAAAUAAUCAAGUCAAAUGCAAAACUGACCUAUGACCACUGAAAUGUAAGUCGUCUAGGUUCUUUGGAGAUUUUUUUGUAACCAAACAAAAUCAGACGACUUAACUUUCAGUCGUUUCAGAAAACAGAUUUCAAAGUCAAUUGCAAAAAUAACUUUUUUUUGACGUCGAAAGGCCAUUCUAUUACUCAAGCUAGAGGUGGUCUGGGUAACCAGACCGGAAUAGAACAACCAAUAAAAAGUAACUCCCUAUGGAAGGAUCUCCCAGUUUUAGCUAAGAAAUCUGAAGUCUGAUUGCGCGCUCUUGGUACAUGAGUGAUGCUGAAGUCCGGGAAGCAUACUUGAAACGUUCCUAUCCUCUCCAGUUCCGUAGCAAAGCUUGGCCAAGCAUGAGGUUCCUUUAUCAUUGCGAUCAGGUCCUUACAGUCUGUCCCAAAGCUCUGACAUGUCGAGUGUUGAAGCAUAUUCUCCAUUGCCCAUCGCAGUGCUUCUAGUUCCGAGUGCAGGGCUGAUUCGUGUCGAGUGAUAUUUCUGGUCCCCAUAAGCUGUAUGUUCCCUCCACUGUCCAUCCAAACCCAUCCACAUCCACUAAAGUGAGCAGCAGGUGUCCAAGAUCCAUCUAACAAGCAAAUAUUACUCAAGCUUAAGACUUGAGGUUCCUCGGUGAUGUUUUCCUGCAUCACAGGUUGUGUCACUUCAUUCGCAUCAAACCAGGCUUGGCAUUCACUUUCUGCAUAUCUAACCAGCUCUAAUGGGUCUCUGUCUAUCCCCCUGAAAAGUUUGUCAUUCCUAGCCUUCCAGAUAUACCAGAUUAUCCAGGGAUAAGGAUCCCUGUCUUGUUCUGGCUCAAUGAUGUCAUUUUUCCUCCAGAAUAGGUAAUCCAUGUUUGUGUAGACGCUUGAUACUGGGAACAAAUUUGGACUUGUUGGAGUUGAUGAUAAUGACCAGGCCUGCAGAGCUGGUGGACAUUCAAAGAUGGCAUGGGUUACUGAUUCUUCAGGUUCUCCGCAUCUUGGGCAGUAGUUAUCACACCUCAUGUUUCGUCUUGCUAAGUUCCUCGUUACUGCCACAUGACCAGUUAACAAUUGCCAUAUAAGAUGACAUAUGUUCUUGGGCGCCUUUAAUUUCCAAGCAAAGGCUUGAAGCUUAGUGAUACUUGGCUCCAGAACUUCCUUUUCAUCUUCUGUCGUUAAUAAAUUCUGAGCCACCCAGUAACCAGAUUUAACUGUGUAUUGUCCGUUCUUUGUGUAGUUCCAGCAGAACGUAUCACGACGAUGAGUUGAGCUUACGGCCAAACUUCUUAUAAGUGGUAUAUCAUCAGGAUUGACAUAUUGUCUCAAGAGGUUAACUUCCCAAUCCAUCGCUACCUGAUUGAUAAGAUCGCUGACUCUCAUAUUAGGAUUCAUAAUGGGCGCUAUAGGAAUGGCUGGUCUCGCAGGGGUCGUAGGGAUCCACGGAUCCUCCCAUACCUUGACUUCAUAGCCUGAAUGAAUCUUCUGCCUUAUACCCAAUAGUAGCAAUUUCCUUGCAGCAGAAAUACUAGUCCACUAAUAGGUGUUACUCUUAUUUAGUUAGUUUGUGAGUAUAUCAUAUAUAUAUAUAUAUAUAUAAUAUAAGUAAUUACCAUUUUAUUCAAUUUUGAUUAAUUUCAAAUUGUAAUAAUAUAUCUUUUUGAAGUUACAAAAAAAUAAUAUUCUUUCUUUACUCACUAGCAUUAUAUAUAGAUUUUAUAUACACAAAUAAAUAUAAUAUAACAACAUAAGCUUGCUUUCCCCGAUUCAUAUGAAAACUUUUUAAGUUAUCCACCAAAUCAAAUUAAUUAAAUUAAUCAAAUUGUUAGAAUACAACAAAUUAAUAUAUAAUUUUAUUUUAAAUUAAAUUAUUAAAAAAAUGUGUAUUUUCAUUAAAAACAAAAUAAUAAAUAAGUAAAAUUGAUUUGAUGGUAAUUUUUAUGACAUAUAUAUAUCAAUUCUGUGAAAGAAAUAAAAGCUUAAUAUGGAAAAAAAAUCUUAAAUACAAAAAACUCUAAAAAUUAAUAAAAAACUAAUAAAAAUUAAACAAUGAUAUCACUUGAAAGCUUCUUAGACAAUAUUAAUAAAAUAUUUAAGCGAUAAUUACACAAAUUGAUUUUUUUUGUCAGCCAAAAAUUUAUUAUUAAUUAGCAUCAGUUAUUUCAAGAUGUUUAUGAAAUGAUGGACAAAAAAAAAAUAGGAUGGACAUAAAUGAUAUAUGAACUAUGAAUAUUACUUUGUAAAGCUGACUUAGAUAACACAUCUACACAUCCAUUUCCAAUCAUUUUUUAUGCCUAAAUUCAGUUUCUUCAUAGCAGUUAUUCCACAAAGAGAUCGUAUGAGAUAUUGUUUUGAUAUUCAGAUUUGUUUUUUGACUGUUAAGAAAAUUGAUAACUGUAAAAAUGUCUCCUUCGAAUAUGAUAUGUCUAUAAUCGAGUCUCCAACAUGAGACAAGUUUAUUUAAAAAGUAAAUAAUUUCAUUUUUCUUAUAUUAUAUAAUAAAUAUAUAUUAUUUACUUAUAAUAAAAAUAUAGUCAUUCAUCUAUCACCUCCUUCGAAUAUGAUAUGUCUAUAACCGAGUCCCCAACAUGAGACAAGUUUGGUUAAAAAGAAAAUAAUGUCAUUUUUUUAUAUUAUAUAAUAAAUAUAUAUUAUUUACUGAUAAUAAAAAUAUAGUUAUUCAUCUAUCACAAAUAUCUAUGCAAAUAUGUGAAUCAAAUACAACAAUCAAACAACAUAAUAAUUUCUACAAAGAAAAUUUAAAAAAUAUAUUUAUGUUAUGUAGUCUUAUUUUAUAUUUGUUAAAUAAUAUAAUACAAUAUUAUACAUUAUUUUUUAGAAUUGAGAAAUACAUAUAAAAUCUUAUUCGUGCUUAGCUCGGUUAAAAAAUCUAGUUUAGUUAUAAAAAGUGUGAGAGAAGUGAUAUGUGACUUAUGAAAUUAUAAACUCCAAAAGUGACACAUAAUAAUAUAUAGGUUGGUUUAAUCCAUAAUCUAUAUAAACUUAAAACCAUUUGAAUAUGGUUUGGUUUUGGUUGAUUUACCUGUGUUAACACUCCUAGAUGAAGCCAACAUGAUGGAUGCACAUGAACUUACUAUUUUCAGUUUUCAUUAUUUUGUAAGGUAAAAUGAAAAAAAAGGUUAUUAGAAACUUUUGUUAUUGAACCCACUAAUUCAUUAUAUAUAGUUUAUGCACCAAGCAAAUUUUGUAUCUAGCUUUGCCCCUGAAUAGACAUUAACCAAUUUUGUAUAUCUAUGUCACCGGUCUGGUUAAAGAAAUUAUUAAAAGAUUUCGAGGACCUCAACAACUCUCUUUCUUUUUACAGACUAAUGGUAAAUUAACCACUCUAAUUUUUAAAUAAUUAUUUACAACCAAAAAGUUUAAAAUAAAUGUAUUAUUUCAAUUUCAUUUUUCUAAAAAUUAUUACACAGUAGUAAUUUACAAGCCUCCAACUUCUUGUUUAAUCAAAUCAAGAGUCUACAGCUUUUGCUCUAAACACUAUCCAUGUUCUAUUGCUCUAUUAGUUUUCUUAUAGAUUAUAACUCAUGAUUGUUGAUAUAAGAAAAUCAAAAGAAAAAAAAAACUGAAAUAUUCAUAGUCUCAAAGAGGUGUUUUUCCUAAGGUUUUAAUUAUAAAACCAAAAGAUGUUAGUAAAAUAUAUUAUAACAAUAUUUUGUUAGAAAAACAUAAAUUAUUUCAGGUUAGUAAAAGGGCCUUAUUUUUUUUUUGAACAGGGUCUCUUUAGAGUUUGAGACGGCCCUACUUAGCUCCUCCAAAAAAGUAACUUGCUAUUUUAUAUUCCUUUUGGGUCCGAAUAACAACAUGAAGAUCAUAUUGAUCAUGCCAUUAAACUUUAGUUUCUAGGAAGCUGUUUCUCUUUGUUUACAUAUUGAAAUGUUCUUUUUUUUAGUAAAAAUAUAAAGAUAUUAUUACCAAUUUUCAAGUUUUUGACAGAAGUACAACGACGACAAAAAACGGAAAAACAAAAUAAAAUCUAAACAACAACUCGAACUAGCCAAAACGAGGACCGACACAACCAAUUGAGCUGCAAGAAUUGGCCUCAGCCAAUCUGCACUUACCACUUGCCGCAAAAGCCGAGCCACAGUUAUAACAAGAGACGGAACCCGGUAAUUUUUGACCUCCCCGAUGAUCCGCUCUUUAAGAUUUGGCUCGAGGAAGAACAGCUCGCCGAAGACAUCAAGAGCAUCCACCAACACUAGCAAAACCAAACCAGAGGCCAGACACACCCGCAAAGCAGACUGAGCAUUAUUCGGACGAACAGCCACAAAGCAGCUACAGGCCAAACAGCUAUACAAAAUGGGCUAUAGACAGCCGCACUCCACAACCACUCACCAGAUCCUCGGAGCGAACCGGAUGAGCCCAUUCACCGGAGGCAGAGCGACGAGCAAACUGACUCCAGUGCUGGGAAAAUGAGCUCACGCCAAUGAGAUCCGAGAGACCACCUGCUCCGUAGACCCCAUAGAGCUGAGAGAAACCCAGACAUGGACAGCCCCUGAGAACCAGGGCGCUGACCGGCUUGCAAACGGAACAAAACUCUAACAGCUAUGAAGACCAGCCGAGAAGGACCUAGAGAACUGGAGGGAGCGCCAAGGCUAGAGGAGGACAACUCGGAAGCAACACGAACAUGGAUUGAAUCGAAGCCAUAGACAACUCCAAAUCGACAGCCAAGUCGCGACCGCGCAUGGCAAACGAGAGCUGCCGGAGACAACACACCUCGAACCUGGAAGACCUCAGACGCGCCAUAGAGGAGAGACCUCACCGUACCGACUGCUCAACAGAAAACAUGAAACCCCAAACGACGAGACGCCUCAGACGAAGGAGAAGGACGCGCCGUCGAGCCACUCCGUCGGGACAACAAAAGAUAGAAACAACCGGAGGAAAGGACAGAUCAGGGUUGGAGGAGUCCCCACCGUAGCCACGCGCCGCCAAACGCAGAGUUUUACCGUAGAUCUAGAUAGAGAAAAUUGACUCCGGACGAAACCCUACCCAAAUAACCGACUUUAACCUCCAGCCGUCGAACACCAGUCUCGCAGCGUCACCAGAGGAACGAGGCGACCGCCGGAGUCGGCCUAGGCUCCUCCGCCGGCGAACGUUCGAGCUCCAGGGAAAGCCGCAUAUCGAAGAGCGACUAAGGGGGAAGAUGAAGCAAAGGAAGACGGAGAGGAAGGGAAGAAGAGACGCCCUACGACGGCGAAGAGGGAAAGUGGCCGCCGGAGGCAAGAUCGGGAAUUUCUUUUUGUGAGGGUUUAGAGAGAGAGCGUGUUUUAGAGAGAGGUUUUCAAUUGUCUUUUUCUUCCUAUUGAAAUAUUUUUUAGAUGACAUUUAUCUCACUACCAAUAGUCUCCAUUUACUCUUCCACAUCACAACGGUGUGCUUGUGCUGAAUAGAUAAUCCAAGCAAUAUAAGUGUUGCUCUUCCUAGCGAAGCAACCACAAAGGCUAUAGUAGCACCAGAGGAGCUAUUUGCCACUAGACUUUUUGAUGACUUCAUUUUUUUUUCUUACAACAAAAAGCUAUUAUAUUUUUUAAACUUAAGGUGGUCUGGGUAACCAGACCGGAAUAAAACAACCAAUAAAAUAACGCUCUCUAUGGAAAGAUCUUCUCGUCCUAGCUAAAGAGUCUGAAAUCUGAUUUUGCGCUCGUGGAAUAUGAGUAAUCUUGAAGUUCGGGAAGCAUAUUUGCAAGGUUUCUAUCCUCUCCAAUUAUGUUGCAAAGCUUGGCCAAGCUUCGGUGUAAUAACCCUCACGAGCAGAUAGAAUUUUGGUCGAGAAAAUUCUUUAAGAUCAGUUUGAAGAUUGAUCGAUCAGAAUUUAAAUAAAAAUCGACACGGUGAAUUAAUCUCUCGACGGGGCUGUCUUUUGGUCAAAAAACUAUCUCUUGAUGGUUCUGGUCGAGUGUUAAUUAAUAUUGUUGUUUUUUAUUCAUGCUGGACGAGUUUAUUCAGAGCAGGACGAGAUUCGAAUGAUGAAAAAUAUUUAGUCGAAACAGUCCGAAAAAUAUCGACAAAACUCUUAAAAUUAUUUCUGAACAGUCACAUGUCUUGCACCUUCUAGCCUACUUGCUUCCUCAGUAAUUAGGUCACAUGACAUGCACCUACUUUCUUACCUACUUGCUCAUUAGAAGUCACAUGCUGGUCAAAAGCUGUUGCUUCCGCUGCUUGUAUCUUUCUUCCAUGAAGAGAAAUGUUCAGCUGUUUGUGCUGCUUGGUUUGCUGAAGCAUGUCACCAGCUGUCUAACCUCAGCUUUGUCUUUUGUGGGAGAAAACCCUCAUCUGAAGCAACUCCUUAUGAUAUAAAAUACCCUCUUCUCUCCUCUGGACGUCCUGAAACAGAUAGAAAACCAGAGAAAAGUUCAGAGAGAAAGAGAGAAAGAAGAGAGAAAAAUCUGUUAAAAAAAUUGGUUGAAAGAUUCAGAAAAAAUCAGGGGAGAGAAGUGAGAUUGGACGAUCCUUUCUCACCAUCUUGUGACUUUAAUCAGUGAGUAUUGGUGUGGUAAAGAGUUGGAGAUUUGGUGUCCUGAAGUUGAGAAUCACCCAUGUUCUUCAGCCUUUGAUUUUAAUCGGUAAAGAUGUAAGGUGUUGGUUGGAUCAGUUUUAUGUGAGCAUUUCUGUUGGAUUGACUGCGGCUCAGCUUUUUUCUGAUUGAGUCCGACCUUUUCUUGAUGUGGUACUGAUUAGGUUUGGUGUGGCUUCAUCUUAAAGUGGAGUAUUAGUUGAGUUCAGACAAUGUUUGAUUUGUACCGGUAAACUGUUUUGCCUUUUGAUCCAGAUCAGUUUAGAUUGUAACCAGCUAGCUGAGUUGUUGUUCUUCCUCUCUGGAUUAAUUUCUUAAUCCCUUGUGUGGAUUUAUAUUAGUUCAGUUCAUGGUCCCCUAGCAUCUAGACAACUUAGCUGAAACGAUUUAUGAUUGAACCGAACUAAAGCUGCCUAGAACUUGCCUUAGUAUAUGUCCUGAAUCUUGAACUGUGGGGUUGAACCGGACUGAUUAACCUUUGUUCCAACCGUUUUGUUAUUGGUACAGAUGGUCAAGGAUAGUGUUCGGAUCAGUCGGAUCCUUGUGGUGAUUUUAAAUCGAAAAUAUUCCAGAAGCCGAGUGUGAUUAGCUUGAGCUCGAGUAUAGUCUUCCUUAGCCAAUCUCAUGGAUUUAAAAGUGAGUAUAGAUAGAUGGUUGAUUAAUACUGAAUGUAGAUGAUUGAUAGGCUUUGUCUCUUGAUCAAUAUUUAACUGGUGAGGUGUUUACUUAGUGUAAACACUUAAUAAAUAUUUAUGAAUGAUCAUAGAUGUUUAUUCCAAACCUAAGUACUUGUUCUCAAGUACUAAUACAUAUGUAUAGUAUUAAAUAUAUGAGUAUAAAUCAUGUGAAGUCUUAUUGUAUACUCACUCUCUCGAAAGUUUCCGCAUUACCGUGAAUUGUUCCUGCGAUACAGAACAAGAUCACGAAGACACGAUGAUGGGGUCGCACCGUGGAGGCCGUGUAACUGCAUGCAGCGUUAGAUGUUCGAUCUUGGAAUAUCUAAUGGAGAUGGUAGUUAUAUUUAUUUUCCCGCUAGGCUCUGUUAGCCUUGGUGGUUUUCCGGGUUUAGUCUAUAUAUAUAUUAUAAGAAUGAGUGAAUGGCGGGUGUCGAGGAGAUGAUGUUUAAGAUAAGAUUCACAUCGAUGGAAUGAUAGGCUUUUUAUAUGUAUUUUUAUUAGUUAUGGAAUAUAUUUCCACUGCAUACAAAUAAAGUUGAUUGCUUGAGAUAUUAUUACUAUACGUUGGGGUGCGGGACUAGGCUCACUGAGUAAACUAGUUACUCAUGACUCAUUUGUGAUGCAGGUAAUCAAUAGACGUGAGACCUUACUCUAGGACGGGAUGGAACAUCAUUAGCCAGCGAUAGUUUUAUUAUCCUAGCAAAGUCAUUUUGAUAUAUCUUAUGUAUAAGAUUUGUAGACCGAAAACCUCGAGGCUAAUUUAUAACAAAUUUUGAAAGAAGCUUUUAAAUGAUAUAGAAAGAAUGUUUUUAAAGUACGGGUUCCAUAUGAUAUUAGUCCUUAUCCGGACGAACUAACUAUCGGGUAUUGCUUUUUCGGGUUGAAAAGCCUAGAGUGAUAUCUGAUAGGAGCGUUGAUGUUCUUUGGUUGUUAACAGUUUUAUCUUUUGUAAAAAUUACAUUAUAUUAAAAUAGAAGUAAUUAAUGAAUUACAUAUUAAAAUUAUGUUUUUUUUGCAAACAUAUUAAAAUUAUGUUGAAUUGGUAAACAAAAUCUAACAAAAUCUUUUUAAAAUUUUAAAUAUUCUUUUAAUUAAUGCACUGAUUAAUUUCGAAAUUAGUAGUAUAAUAUUAUUAUAAAUUAAUUUUUUAAAAUUUUUUAUUAUAAACAAAAUAAUGAAUUUUUUUGCUAAUUUUAUAAAUUUUAUAAGUAUAUUCUACAUUAUAUUAAAAUAGAAGUAAUUAAUGAAUUACAUAUUAAAACUAUGUUUUUUUGCAAACAUAUUAAAAUUAUGUUGACUUGGUAAACCAAUAUAUUUUGAAAAAAAACUUUCAGUAAGAUAAAUAAAUAAAAUAUUAUUCACCAUUUUAAGUGACUAAAAUAUCAUUCAUCUUUUAAAAUGAUUAAUAUUCAUAAAUUAUGUAAUAAUUUUUACAAAAGAUAAAACUGUUAACAUAUGUUAAAUUUUAAUAUUUAGAACUAUAUAUCAUCUAUUUAGUUGUUUUUAAAUCUUCUAUAUUAAAAGAGAAGUACCAUUUUUAUCUAAUACAAAAUAGUCAUACUAGAAGUCUAGGUUCAUAUAUUCAAAUAAUGGUUUUAAUUGUUUACAUUAGUUUAUUUAAUGAAUAACAUUUGUAAAUAAUUAUUGAAGAUUUAGCAAAAUAAUAUCCGCGCAUAGCGCGGAUCCGUAUCUAGUUGAUAUUAAUGUUGUGGUUUCUUUACUUUUUGUGGUAUAGGAACAAUAUAGUCAAUGGAAUCUUGUAGCGUUCCUCCGGGAUUUAGGUUCCAUCCGACGGACGAAGAGCUUGUCGGGUACUAUCUAAGGAAGAAAGUCGCAUCGCAAAAGAUCGAUCUCGAUGUCAUUAGAGACAUCGAUCUCUACAAAAUUGAACCAUGGGAUCUACAAGGUUACUUACAAAACACCAAAAGAUAUUUCCAUUGUUUAAUUUUCGUAUCUCAUAUAUCAUAAUGUUAUCAUCAUGUUACGAGUAUCUAUGAUCUUAUUUAUGAGCUCAGAUUUUAUAUAUUACAGAGCGAUGUCGAAUCGGGUAUGAGGAACAGAAUGAAUGGUACUUUUUUAGUCACAAAGACAAGAAAUAUCCAACGGGGACAAGGACUAAUAGAGCGACCAUGACUGGAUUUUGGAAAGCCACGGGAAGAGACAAAGCUGUUUAUGACAAAACAAAACUGAUUGGGAUGAGGAAAACACUUGUGUUCUACAAAGGACGUGCUCCCAAUGGCCAAAAAUCCGAUUGGAUCAUCAAAAAUCCGAUUGGAUUAUCCAUGAGUACCGGCUCGAGUCAGAUGAGAACGCACCGCCGCAGGUAUUGUAUUAUUAAUAUAAAGCAUUGUCAAUUUGGUGGACCGGCCUCAUUAACCAAGAUUGAUCAAUUUAACAUGAUUACCAAAAAAAAAAAAACCAAGAUUGAUCAUGACAAUUUGUUCUGCUUUGCAUUCAUCUUUUCACCUUUUUAUAUCUCAUACAAAAUUACAUGGGGAUAGUACUUGUGUUUCUACUUUAACGGGGACAGAACACUUUUGUUUUAAUUAGGGUUUCUUGUCUCUUGGGCUCUUUUCUGAGACACAUGCUAACUUUUAGGUGAAACUCUUACACUUUAAUGACAUGUAGAAGUCCAUAAUCCACAAAUUCAAUCAGGAAGAAAAAAAGAAGAAGGUAGAAGUCUCACCUAGACUCAUAUCCAAUUUUUUUUUUCGGAAGUCACUGCAGAAUUUGCAAUUUUCUACUAACCAAAAAUGAAAAAGCUCAAUCUCAUUUCUCUUUUCUUGUCUUUUAAGUCAUUAAUAUCUAAAGUUUCAAUCCUUUAAUUUGUAUAUAUAUAUUUAACAUAUGUUGGUUAGCUAGAAUUUUCCAGUUAAAUAAUCAUUUAUAUAUAUAUAUAUAUAUAUAUAUAUAUAUAUAUAUAUAUAUAUGUAUAUAUUUUUGUUAUUAUUAAUGGCGGUGCGACCUAUCACCAUUCGAAGCUUUUAUCUUAGAGAUCGAGUGUCAUAAUUCUUAAUUAGAUUUUCAUUUCAGUGUAAAUGUAAUAAUGCAAAUAAACAAUAAUCAUAAUUAGGUUUUUAUUGAUUUAUUUUCUUCAAAAUAAAUUUUAUUUUAACUUAUUUUUUAUUUCGAUUAUUUUAGUUAUAAUUUAUUAAAUUGACAGCAAUAUAUUAUCAUAAAUUAUUAUAUACAAAAUAAUAUAAAAUUUUAUAUUUAUAAAUGAAAUAUUACCCGCACGGGUGUGCGGAUUAAAAUCUAGUAAUGGAAUUGAUUUCCACGAUUCAUGUACGUUAAGUUUGCAAAGUAAUAUUGUGGCUUUGACCAUAUCAACAACCAUUAGUAUUCUUUUCUUGGGUUUACAUAUUUAAAUAAAUAUGUAUAAUAUUAUUAUGCAAAAUCUAUAUUAUUAAAAGAGAAGUACCCAUUAAAAAAAUAUCCCUAAGUUUUCUAACUUAUUUACACUUUCAUGCCACUCACAAUUAAAUUAAACUACAUAUUUUAAUGAUUAUCUUUUCCAGUUAAAUUAAUGAGUUUUCUUUAAUCAAAUUUAAACUUAAUGUUAUUAAAUGAAACUACAUAUUUUAAUGCUUGUGUUUUUCAGUUAAAUUAAUGAAUUUUCCUUAAUCAAAUUACAACUUAAUGUCAUUAAAUGAACUUAAAAAUACAUCAUAUUUAACAUAGCUUAUUAUAGACGAGUACGACCCAAUAAUGAACUUGAAUUUUAUUUUUACGAAAACGUGAAUCACUUGACGUAUGUAAUAUUUAAAAUAUACUCCUAUUAACUACUAUAUAACAAAUGCAUAUAACCUUCCAAUACUUUAGUUUGAAAUGAUCAUGCUCAAGUUUUAUAUAGUCAACUUACAUCAUGCACUGAUCGACGUACAAUUUCAAACCACCUAUAGUUUUUGUUUUCCUUAUAGGAUGUAUCAACCAACCAAUCAUCCUAUUGAUUUUCUAAGCUUUAUAAGAACACAAAUCAAUAAAUACAAACCCAAAAUCCAAUAUCUUCUAUUAAUCAAAACAAAAUAUCUUCAAUGUCGUAUCUUUAAUGUACCUAUUAAAUAUAGAAACUGUAACCAUAAUUACGAUAAUUAUAAGAAUAGAUUUGAUUACUACCAAUUGAUCUAUUACUUCGGUAAUUGAUUUGCUUGCAGAAGAGAAAACAAUAAAUUUAAAAUUUAUAAGAAUAUAAAGAUAUAGAGAUUCUAACCGAUUGCCUAUAUUUGCGUAUGAUUUUUGCAUAAUAAGCUUCAAAUUGAACAUUGAAAAAGAUAGAUAGAUUUUAACAUGUAUAACUAAUUUAUAAUCUUUUAUGCCAUACUAAGUCAUAAUAUAAUAUUUCUUCAUAUUUUACAUUAAUAACUAUUGUUUUUAUAUAUCGUCUACAAAUUUUUAAUUACGUUUGUUUGUUCUAUUUUUUAUAUGAUAUCGAAUAUUCGUCAUAAAUAGAUGGUUUAAGAUGCCAAAAGGUUAUUUACUUGGUGAAUAUAAACAUCAAAUAUUACAUUUUUACUUGGUGAAUAUAAACAUCAAAUUAUUUACUUGGUGAAUAUAAACAUCAAAUAUUAUGAAAUUUAUUACUUGGUGAAUAUAGACAUAAUACAUCAUUUAGUUAAAUAAAUAACCAAAAACAGAAAAUUCAUAUCCGCGCUUGCGCGCGGGUCAGGGUCUAGUAAUAUUUAAAAUAGGUUAAUUGACUUAAUGUCCAAUCAACAAAUUUAAGUUUAUAUUCAACCCAAAUAUCCAAAAUGAUCAAUUUGCUAAAUGUUUUAUAUUUAGCCAAAUUUAAAGCUUUAUAAGUUUUGCACAUCAUUCAUUUUGGACUUCCAUUUCUCAUUCAACACAACUCUGAUUUUGACAAACAAAUACACUAACUCAUAGUGUUCACGGUGACGAUUACAUCGUGCCCAAGUUCCGGUCUUUUCGACAGACGUCUCCGUCGAAAAACCCAUCAGAAAAUUGGUCCACACCACUUUGUCAAAAACGAGUUUUAACGAUCUCCCACAUGAAUAGAAAUGAUUCUAUACACAUGAAAAAAGAAGAAAAAAAAACUUUUGAGAGUACGAGCGAAAAAUCCACUGCAUGAUGAGUUGGUAGCAAUUUUUCAGCCUUGAACCAGUCAUUGUUAAUAGCUAUCGGAUUUACUCGAACAGGAGGUGGCAAUGAUGUCUUGAACCCCCAGACUUUGGUGUAAACCGGGACAAUAGCUAUAACACAACUUCAUUCUCUCACAAAUUAAUUUCUCUACUGUGUUCAUUUUGGCUGUGAACAUUCUUGGUAAUCAUGAGUGAACUUGGAGAAUAUAGCAUUUCCUUCAUUCUGCUAGAAACGGCCCCAUUUCACACUCACAAGGUGAUUUGCCAUUAGUUUUGUUUAGAGGAGUAUCAUGUAUUACUCCAUUCAUAUCUCAAAACAAUGGACACAAAUCAUUAAAAGCUAAUGCUUAUCAUAUAUUCCUUACAUGUAGCACUGUUUAAUCAUCAUAAGAACUGGGUAUAGACCGAAGUCGUACACUGCUUUGGGCAGAUUUAGUUUGACUUAGUUGUCUCCUUGAACCUAUUUCUUGGGAUCUCCAGUCAGUUCAGUAGAGUUACCGCCAAACCUCAUCUUAAUUCACAGGCUACUCAUUCUUUUAGAUGAUAUAACAAUUUGAUCUCAUGACACACCUUUAAUAAAAGGAUCCUAGGUUGUCAUCGUAGUGAACAUAAUCUCUUGAGAUUAGUCGAGAUCAAUUGUCUAAUGAUUUUUGUCAUCUUUUAUUCAAGAUACAAUUAACCAUUAUACACAAAACUCAGUGUAUGACACUAGUUUGUUUUUUUUUUAAUAAAAAAAAAUCAUAUUGUGAUAACUAUCACUAAGUUCAUUUGGCUUCUUGCCAACAACUUUAUAUGGUAGGCAAAGCUUCCCCCUUAUUUCUUGAGAUAACUAAAAAAUAUGCAUAUUUAUUUACAUUUAACAUCUCUUAAGAGUUUAGAAAAUUAAUCUACAACUCAUUUAGAUUUAAAUGUUAAAAUUUUCUUUUUGGUGUAUUUCAUUCUCAGAAAUCAUAUUUUACAAACAACUAUCUUCAUAGUUCUCUUAAGUUGAUUUAUAAAUCCAACUUGUAUGUUUUGGAUUUUUCCAAACACAUAUUUUGUUUUUUAGAAAAUAUACAUAUCAUUACAAGAUAUUAUUUUUGCCAUCAAAACCACACAAUUUUAUAUGAUUAUUCUCGACCAUAUUAACUUUAGAAACUACACAGUUUUAGUCAUAUUAGUCUUAAUUCUCAUUAUUUUUGCAUGUUCAAUCUUUUUACAACUUGCAUUUAAGCAAUAACGAAAUAUAAAUGUUUUGUUCAAUAUCAACAAACAUUUUAUUUUUUAUGGCAAACAGAUUUAUAUGUGGUAGACCUCUCCCAAACUUAAUUUGGGGCAUCGACUCACAAAUCUAUUUUCAUUCAUAUAACAUGAUCUCUUAAGAAUCAAAAUGUUAUUAAUGACUAUGGUUUCACCAUACAUAAAUCUUCAAUAUUUUUCUGCUUUCAUGGAUAUUCCAAAAAGAAAAAACUGAAACCAGAAUUCUAAAGGUUAGACAUUAUUGAUAACAUGCAAGACAAAAAACGUGAAUGCUCUUUGAUAAUUAAAUUAAACCAAUGGCUGAAACCGGUUAAAGGAAAAAAAACACACGCCUUUUAACAAAUAACAUAAACUGAUAAGCUCUAAUGGUAACGGAAAUUUCAGAUCAAACGUCUCUUUUUCUACGAAACUCCAACUAAAUUAUUCUAAAAAACGAAACUCCAUCUAAAUUAUUCUAAAAACGCAGAUAUAGAUUAGAUAACCGAUUAAGUUCUGCAAUAUAGAAAGAUUAAUCAGAAAAUACCAGCGGCACAAAUCCUUGCGGUUAAGACACAAGGACAACAACUAAAGAUCCCAACAACAAUAAUAACUAAAGACGAUUAGAACCAGUAGAACUGAGCAAAGAUAAGCAAAUGUCACGUUGCAGGAGAUAAGCUAAAAAUUCUAUUUUAAAUAAUCCUGCAAAACAGAAGCGUAAGAAUAAAGAUCAAAAAACUUCACACAACACUGAGAAACUACCGGUACCAAACCGUUUUAUGGGAACCUGUUCUGGAUCGUUCAACACCUGUUCUUAACAAAAAAAACUUUUACGAUAAUAAUAAGUUCGGUUAGUGCAAAGCAAUAAACGAAUAUUUUGAGUUAAGACUGAUAGAACCGUAUUAUAUAAACUACGGAGAACUGAAUAUUGUAAAUAAUAAAUUUGAUAAGAUUAAACCAAAGAUUAAGAAAAUGAUGAUACAACUGCAGAUGCGAGAUAUUAUCUCUUUUCUUAACUCAAAAUUCGUCUCGUAGUGCGACGAUUUGAUAACGUAAUAAGUCCCAAGAUACAACUGCAAAAAAUCUUCUGAUUUGCGUCACUUUAUCAGAAGCCUGACGAAACUAGUUUUGUGUAUAUUCACGUACUCAAAAGAGAAUAUCAAAGAGAGAGGAAAAAAUAUGAAGGAUUGUAAGCUUUUGCUCGGUGUAUUCAAAGUUACACAAGUGUUUCCUGUUAAACUUGAAAAUUUCAAGUACACGUUAUGUAAUUUAAUGAGUCCACUAACGUACCAAUUGAAUGUCAUAAUGGAAUUGAUUUCCACGAUUCAUGUACGUUAAGUUUGCAAAGUAAUAUUGUGGCUUUGACCAAAUCAACAACCAUUAAUAUUCUUUUCUUGGGUUUACAUAUUUAAAUAAAUAUGUAUAAUAUUAUUAUGCAAAAUAAUAUUUAAAAUAGGUCUUUUUUUUUUUUUUUUUGACAGCAAAAAGAUUACAGACUCAUAUAGACCCUGUAAACCAAAGUGGUAACUCUGAAUCCAUGUGUACGACGAAAGACGGUUGUUGCCGAGCACUACGUGCCAAACUAUCCGCCCUUGUAUUCUCCGUCCUAGGUACAUGAACAAUAUCUGAGUUGACGAAACUUCUUCUCAACAGCUUAAUAUCUUCCAGGUAGCUUUCAAAUGCUGGCCAUUCUUCUGGUUCUGAAACCAUCUUCACCAAUUGAGAACAAUCCGUUGCAAACGUAACCUGAAACUGUCUUAAGUUUCUCAUGCAUUCCAUUGCCCAAAUUAAUGCCUCCAUCUCCGAAUGAAGCGGUGAAAGACAAGCCCUUACAUUCCUUGCUCCUAGUAAACCAUCAAACCCUGAUAAUGUACUGAGCCAACCUUGUCCUGAAAAUAGGUCGUUAUCUUUCCAAGAACCAUCUGUGAAACACCAUCUUCCUGUGGUUCCUACGUUAGGCCUAACUUGUACUUCUUGUGCACACCUGUUGUUACUAACCUGUGCCUCAGCCCAAAGUGUUGAUUCUAGUUCUGCUAAUCGAAGUGUUUCCCUGGGAUCAAUAUCAAGAUUACUGAAUACUUUAUUGUUUCGACCCUUCCAAAUGUACCAUAGUAUCCAUGCAAACUGAUGAUCCUCCAUCUUUGGAUUAACUCUCCAAAAUAGAUGGUCCAUAUUAGCAAAAAGAGAGCCAAUAGGAAAAAUAUUCGGAUUUGAUGGAAUUUUAGAUAGUGCCCAGACUUGACGAGCUGGGGGACAUUCAAAAAACACAUGGUUUAUUGAUUCUUCAGGAUCACCACACCGUGCACAGCACGUAUCUCCUUGUAUUCCUCUUGCCCUUAGAUUUUUCGUUACCGCCAUACAUCCUGAUAUCAACUGCCAUAAAAAAUGCUUUAACUUUGGAGGACACCUCACUUUCCAGCAGAAAGCUUUAAGUAUAUCAACAUUGGGUCCAUAAAAUUCUGGUGGCUUUUCCUUAUCAGGAUAAAUCCUUUCCACUUGGUACCCUGAUUGUACUGUAUAUUUCCCAUUCUUGGUGAAAUGCCAUCCAUUCCUAUCUUCCAUCCGAUUUCUACACAAUGGUAUACUUUCGAUUAUUUUUGCAUCGUGUGGAUCCACCAAAUCCCUAAUUGCCUGUAAAUUCCAUGUGCGGGAUUCCGAAUUAAUGAGAGAAUCCACUGUGAGCUCCGGGUAACUAUUAUGAAGGUUUUUGUUAGCUGGUCUCGGGCGAGUGGAUGGGAGCCAUGGAUCAUUCCAUACUGAAAUAGAUGAUCCUGUUCCCACCCUUUUAAUUAGUCCUUUACAAACCAGAGAUCUAGCAGAAGUAAUACUCCUCCAGCCAUAUGACGGGGAAUAUGAGCGAAUCGGAUCCAGGGGUGAAGCAUUCCUGUAAUACCGUCCUUUAAAAACUCGAGAAAAAAGAGAAUUUGGCUUCUCGAGCAGCCGCCACAGUUGCUUCCCAAGCAUGGCCGUAUUAAAAUCAGUCAAGUCCUUAAAACCUAACCCACCAUUAUCUUUAUGGACACACAAUUUAUCCCAUGAUUUCCAAUGCAUACCUCUUGUACUACCUCCUGGACUCCACCAAAACUGCGCAACAGCACCCGUUAGCUUCUUCACAGUCGUUUUCGGUAACCGAUAUACAGACAUCACAUGGUUUGGCAGAGCCGUAAUCACCGAUUUAAUAAUCACCUCCUUGCCGCCCUUAGUAAAAAAUCUUAAACUCCAUCCAUUAACCCUAUUAUUUAACCGUUCUUGUACGAAUCCAAACACUUGUACCUUAGAACCUCCUAGGCUUUCGGGCAGGCCUAAAUAAGAUCCCAUUCCACCUAAAUUCUGAAUUCCUAAGAUAUCCCUCAAUUCUUGACGACUAUCUUCAUCAAUCUUAUGUCCAAAUUGAAUUGAGGAUUUCUGGAAAUUAAUUUGUUGUCCAGAGACGGUCUCAUAUUCCUUUAGAAUCCUGAGUAUAGUUUGACACUCUUCCUUGUUUGCCUUACAAAAGAACAAACUAUCAUCUGCGAAUAACAAAUGAGAGAUUGCAGGGCAAGCUCUUGCCACUUUCAUACCGGUUAAUUGUUUCAUCCGCUCCGCCUUUUUAAUAUUUGAAAUUAACGCCUCCGUACACAUAAUAAAUAAGUAAGGGGAUAAAGGAUCUCCUUGACGUAAUCCACGCUGGGGAAUAAUUACACCUCGUGGCUGCCCAUUGAGAAGCACCCUAUAUUGAACCGAAGAGACACACUCUCGCAUUAAUUUAAUCCAAUGAGGAUCAAAACCCAUUUUUUGAAGGAGAGCCGCAAUAAAAUUCCACUCUAUCCGAUCAUAUGCCUUACUCAUAUCUGUUUUUAUUGCCAUAAACUUAUUUUGACAAGACUUAUUGGCUCUCAAACCAUGAAACAUUUCCUGCGCGAUAAGAAUAUUAUCUGAAAUUAACCUUCCUGUCACAAAAGCCGAUUGUGUCUCUGAGAUUAGUCUGGGAAGACAACUUUUCAGCCUUUGACACAAAACCUUCGAAAUUAUUUUAUAGCCCACAUUACAAAGACUUAUUGGUCUCAGUUCCGUCAUCCUUGUCGGUCUCUCCACUUUUGGUAUCAUACAAAUAUUAGUUAUAUUCAGCCUUGGAUCCAAAUCACCUGAUCUCAAAAAAUUAUUCACCAGCUCGACCACAUCCUUUUUAAUAACAUGCCAGGAAUGCUGAAAAAAAAGAGCUGUCAUUCCAUCCGGACCUGGCGCUUUCUCCGGAUGCAUCAUAAAUAAAGCUUGUCUCACUUCUUCCUCUGUUGCUAACUUCAAUAGCCUUUGAUUCAUCUGAGGAGAAAUUGAUGGUCCUAUCUCCUCCAAGAAACUAUCAAACUCCGUAGGAUUAGUAGAAUUAAACAAACCAUCAAAAUAAUCUACCGCCACCUUCUCAACACCGUUCUCAUCUGUGAUCCAAUUACCCGCAUCAUCAUAGAGGCCCACUAUUUUAUUUCGGAUCCGCCGUUGUUUUGUUAAAGCAUGAUAAAACUUAGUAUUCAAAUCCCCGGAUGAGUACCACAUAUUUCGACUUUUCUGAUGCCAAUACUCCUCCUCAUCCUUAUAGGCCUCCUGUAAUUUCCUGGAAAUCUCAAUAAUAUCCUCUUGGGAUCUAUUGUUAUCUGUUUGUACAUCUUCCAAAGCUUGUUGAAGAUUCUGAAUUUUUUCCUUCCCAUAAGGUUGAUUGUCUUUCCGCCAUGAAGAUAUUUCAUGUCGACAAUUAUUAAUUUUGGUAAUAAAAUCCCCUGGUUGGCCCUCCUGAUUUUCUGUCCAACCCGACACAAUUGAUUCCAUAAGCCCCUCCUGACCUAUCCACCGCUUAUCAAACCUGAACUGACCUCUUUUUUUCCUUGAUAAUUUAUCUUCCAGAAAAGCGAUCACCGGUCGAUGAUCCGAUCCCACCAUCCUCAAAUAUUCUGUGUAAGAAAAUGGAAAGAGUGUAUGCCAUUCCUCAUUCGCCAAGGCUCUAUCCAGUCGACAUCUAACCGUUACAGCUCCUUUUCCUUUCCCUCUCCGUCCCUGCCAUGACAUUUUAUUACCACGAGCCGGAAAUUCUAAUAGUCCACUAUUCCUUAUCAUAUUGUUGAAAGGGAUAAAGGACGUCGCACACCUUAGAGUUCCCCCAUCUUUUUCGUGAUUCCCGGUAAUUUCGUUUAGAUCUCCUAUAAUAAACCAGGGCUCCGAUCUAGCUAAACCAUAUCGGGUUAACCUUUCCCAUACAUGAUCUCUCAAACUUUGAUCCGGCUCUCCAUAUACAAAAGUAAGGAAUACUUGUUUCCCUUUGGCCAUUGCCUCGACAUCUAUCAUUCUAUUGCUAGAAUAUAAUAUUUUAACUUGGUACUCAUUAUUAUAAAAAAGGGCUAAACCACCACUUCUCCCAAUUGGAUCCACUGUAACCAGACUAUCAUAACCAAAAUGUGAUUGAAACCUUUGUACGAAUCCAAAAUCCUGUUUCGUUUCUGAUAAAAACAUAAAAUCUGGUUUAUGUUUAUGCCAUGUUUCCCGAAGAUAACUUAUUGUCCAAUGACUUCCAAGACCUCUGCAAUUCCAACUUAAUAUUUUCAUAUAUAAACCUGCUUGUAUUGCUCUACCGAGCCGGAAGAUUGGGGUUUAAUGAUACCCAGCAAUCUUAGAAUCUCAAGGUUCCGAAAACCAGUAAAAUUACAAUCAAUUUAAAAUAGGUCAAUUGACAUAAUAUCUAAUCAACAAAUUUAAAUUUAUAUUAAACCCAAAUAUCCAAAAUGAUCAAUUUUCUAAAUGUUUUAUAUUUAAUCAAAUUUAAAACUUUAUAAGCUUUGCAUAUCAUUCAUUUUGGACUUCCAUUUUUCAUUCAACACAACUUUGAUUUUGACCAACAAAUACACUAAUGCAUAGUGUUCACGGUGACGAUUACAUCGUGCCCAAAUUCUGGUCUUUCCGACAGACGUCUCCGUCGAAAAACCCAUCGGAAAAUUGAUCCACACCACUUUGUCAAAAACGAGUUCCAACAUGUUAUGCCUUCCUCUCUGCUUUCUUUACUUCAUUCACCGACAGCAGGUUAGAAACUUCAUUUUUCAGAUAAAAAUAGUUACAAAACAAUCCCAGUUUGAUAUUCUCUUUAUUAAUUAUAUUUUUUAAUUUUCUUUUUUCACUUUUUUCUUUAUUAAGCCGGAGCAUGGACAAACAUUAAAAUAACUAAUGAACUCAAAAGAAUCAUUCCCGAACAAUUUGCUCGGUCCAUCUGCGAGGAAGAACAUAAUUGACUAAUUGUGUUGCUCCCAAAGAAAAAGUCAGAAUAUGAAUGGAAUACAAGAACUAUUUGCUCGCAUGAUGCUCUGGCCCUAAAAGGUUUUCGUUUAUUACAUAAUUGAAUAAAAAUUUCUCCCAUUGAAAAUUACAAUGAUAAAAAGGCAGUGGAUCAGUGGAUAUAAUUGGUUUGUAAGAAGCUUUUGAAGUACAGAUACGACACUGACUCUCAGGUGACUAUCUCAACCUAUAUAUAUUGGCUAUAUGAUUUUAAAGCAGAUUUUAGAAUCAAGUGUUAUUCAAUGUUAAUGAUUUGUUUGAGGAUUUGAUUUUGAUUUUGAUUUGAGUGGAUUUAUGAGUAUUUUAAGAGUAAAAUACAAGGGAGCAAAUAUCAAGUUAAACCAUGUUAUUUUGAUUGGAUUUGCAUUAUUGGGUUUUUUCCAUUUUCUUAUAUUUUGUGUGUGUCCUAAUACACGUGGUUGAUAUAAACCUCAUUAUAAUGUUUUUUGUUCAUGUUCAGAAUUUGCAUCAGGGGCAUGUCUUGCACACAAACUUAUUGUAAAAUACAUACAAAUCAAAUAAAUGAAACAAGAAUAUUAUACUUUAUCGAACUUAGGAAUGUGUUCGUGCUUCUUUUGAUAGGUUCUUAAGCUUUUUAGUCAAAUGUAUAUAUUAUCAACAUGAAUUCAGAAUUUCUUGGAGAUCAUGACACUUCAGAAGAAGAAAAUGUAAAUGUCGCAUGCAAGUGAUGCAUGCCCUAUUAUGCAAUGAGAACUUCAAUUGAAAAUCAAUUUCAUUCAUUUAUAACAAUCAACUUAUUUUGAUUUGGAAAUUUAUAUCAUUGAUUUUGAAUCUAUUUGUUUGAUUUUAAAAUAAAGGGAUUUGUCAAUAAUUUAUAAAUCCAAAAAGAAUUUAUAAAUCCACUAAAGUAUUAGAACCACUAACCCCCACUUAACUAUGAAAUUAUUAAAUGCAAUAGCCAGUUUCCUUUGAAUACUGAGUAAAUUAUAAGAAAUUAAGCUAAUUUUCAUAAAAGAGAUUUCAAAGUCGAUGAGAUCUGUUAAUUUCUUAGGAGCUUCUGUGAAGAUUGUAUAUAUAGUAGACUUCUUUUUUUUUUUGCCAUCAAACGGCUAUUCUAUUACUCAAACUUGAGGUGGUCUGGGUAACCAGACCGGAAUAGAACAACCAAUGUAACAUAAAUGUCUAUGAAAAGAAAUAUAUAGUAGACUUAGGUAGGGCAUGUGGACACAAGAAAUAUAUCCGACUAACCUUCGUAUAAAUAUACAAUAUCGUUCAAGAUAAAUGUCUAUAAGUAAUAUGGUAAGUUAUACAAAUUAGAAUGUCACAUUAAACACGUAAUAUAUAGUUUCUUCAAAUAAUAAUCCUUUUGGAAUAUAUACUUUCACAUAUGCCAUAAAGAUAUCGAUUUAUCCCUAAAAGUUAUGAUGUAGUUAUGAUGAUAUAUCUUUGGAAUCAAAUAGGUUUGGACACAAAGACAGUGAGCAAGAUAUUUGUUAUUUAAUACAAAUGAAUUCCGUAUUACCAAAUUCAAAAUUGAACAAAAAUUGUGUAUCACGUGUAUUGAUUUGUUACUCCAACUAAGUUUUCUUUCUAAGGUAAUGAAAAUUGAAUUGACUUCUAAUAAACCGUCCAUAAAUUAUUUGGAUGAGGUCCGGUUUAACAACUGAUUAACCAACUACAUAUACAGUAGAAACCAGUUAUACAGGCUAAUUCAUCAGAAUAAAUCAAAACGAUUGGAACGUAUAUGUUUUAAGCCUUGAUUCUUACAUAUAUAUUUUGACCCAACUUACAUAUAGUGAAACACAUAUAUGUUUUCAUCUUGCAAACAUACAGUUAAAUUGGAUUGGAAUAUAUUUUGCUAUGUACGUGACACUGAAUAAACCCAAUAUAUAUGGUUAUCACCUUUUUUGAGCAUCUACAAUGUCUUAUUAUUAUAAUAGAACAAUGGAGACAACUAUUGAAACUGCCAAGUGAUUUUAAGCUGAUUACAUAUUACAUCUUUACGAUAAUUACUGAACAUGAUCUCUCAGAAGGUGAACUGUGAACAACAAAGCUUUGAUACAUAUGUUUUGUAAAGUGUUUCGCUUUUAUAUACUAGGGGUAUAAUCCCCGCGCAAGCGCGGGGGUCGUUGACAUUUUCAUUGAUCUAUUUAAAAAUAUGUGGGUGAUGCUAUGUUAUGUGUGUUUUUUUGUUUUGGUAACUUUUUUUAAAUAUGAUUGAGGUUUGGUGAUGAAGUAUUGGUAAUUUAUUUUUCUCUUGUUGUUUAAGAUAAUUGUCGUUUUAGCAUAGUAGUAUAUUUAUGUGUUUUAUUUGAUGUUGGUUUAUUUUGGAAUUUCUUUUGUUAUUAAUAUUUUUAAAAUUUUUUAAUGUUAAUUUAAAAACGUAAGAUUAAAAAAAUUGUUUGAGAAUUGCAUACGGGAGUUUUGGUAGAGAAAUAUGUAAUUUUUAAUGGGGAAAUAGUACUCAUUUAUGUAUUGUGUUCUACGUUACAUGGAAACGGAAGCCGAAACGUGGAAGCGGAAUCGUAUGGAAGCGUAGAAGCGGAUUUUUAAAAAAAAAAUAAGAAGCGGUGUUUUUAGGUGUUGAACGAUUGCAGUGCAGUUCAUAUUGUUAUUUGACAUUGUGAAUGUUGAUAGUUAUUAUAUGACUUUCAGAUGGUGUUGUUAACGACUGCGGAACCUAUUUGGCAUUUAAUUUUUUUUUGUAGAAUAGGAAGCAGUUUUGAUUGAAUUACAAUGGAGCAAAUUAAGAUCAGUAUGAAUAUACAAAGGGGCUGUUUAUUUCACCAUUUGUCAUCUCCAUCCAAAUGAUUCAUUUGUAUGAUAUAUUCAGAUGAUCCAUUCAGAUUUUUGUUAUUUGUUCAACCACAUAGUUCAUCUAGAUGAAUCAUCUAAAUGGAUUUUAUGUUUGUUUCUUUAUUUUUAUUUUCAUUCAAAUGAGUUUAGUAAACAAAUUACCAAAAUAUCCUUGUGUUGGUUUAAUCAUAUAUUUGAUAUUAAUUUUAACUAUAAGACAUUUAAUUAUUUAGUUUAAUAUAUUUACAUUAAAAUUAUUUCAAAAUUAACGAAUUUUCUUUUUGCGGUUUGGGCGGAAAAAAAAAGAUUUUUCAGUUUUAGCGAGAAAACACAUUUUUGGUUUUGGCGGGUAAACAAGAUUUUUCGGUUUUGGCGGGAAAAUACAAAUUUUCGGUUUUGGCGAGAAAACACGUUUUUGCGGUUAAGGCGAGAAAACACGUUUUUGCGGUUUUGGCGGAAAAGACGUUUUUGGCGGGAAAACGCAUUUUUUUGCGGUUUUAGAGGGAAACACGUUUUUGCGAUUUUUGCGGGAAAACAAAAUUUUUCGGUUUUGACGAGACAACGAGAUCUUUCGUUAUUGGCGGGAAAAUGCGUUUUUGCGGUUUUGGCGGGAAAACGCAUUUUUUCGGUUUUGGCGAGAAAACAUUUUUUUGCGGUUUUGGCGGAAAAACACGUUUUUGCGGUUUUGGCGGAAAAACGCGUUUUUACGGUUUUGCCGGAAAAUGUGUUUUGGCGGGGAAACACGUUUUUGGCGGGAAAACACAUAUUUGCGUUUUUGCGGUUUUCGCGAGAAAACGAGAUUUUUCGGUUUUGGCAAAAAAUGAGAUUUUUCGGUUUUGGCGGAAAAACGAGAUUUUUCGGUUUUGGCGGAAAAACGAGAUUUUCGGUUUUAGCGGGAAAACACGUUUUUUUUGUUUUGGGGGAAAAUACGUUUUAGCAAUUUUGGCGGAAAAACGUGUUUUUGUGUUUUGGCGGAAAAAUAUGUUUUGUGGUGUUGGUGUGAAAACAUGUUUUUAGUGAUUUUGGCAUGAAAACACGUUUUUCGGUUUUUGCGGAAAAACACGUUUUUGUAAUUUUGACGGGAAAACACGUUUUUGCAAUUUUUGCGGAAAAAUGCGUUUUUGGGGUUUUGGUGUGAAAAAAUAGUUUUUAGGUUUUCGCGGGAAAACGUGUUUUUGUAGUUUUGUUAAUUUUCGUAUGUGACAAAAAUGAUAUUAUGUUUAGAUAGGAAUGUCAAACAGGUUGGACCGUCCCGUCCCGUCCCGCCGCGGGCUCAGCAUCUUGAGGGUCCAGGCGGUCCCGUCCCGCGCGGGCUGCGGUCUAAGAAAGCCGGCCCAGUCUUGUACCGCCUAAUUGCACAGUCCCUUACAAGCCGUCCCGCGGGCUGGACGCGAAAGGAGUGCAGCAAGACGUUUCUCGAUACUGCAGGCUGCUCCAGUGACCACUACAUACCUAAGUGCACAUAAUGAAUGAUAUAUGAACACAUGACCCAUCUACUAUUGAAGCUUAACAAAAUUUUACAUAUAUUUGUCUUGUUUUGUAUUUUUUUUUUCUAUUACAACUUGUGCUUCAUUCACCACAACAAUAUCAACGAAAGAUGGAGAAACAAACAGGCCCAAAGUCCCCUGGCCGUUAAGAUUAAGAGCAAACUAGGUGGCCGGCCCGCACCCUGUGCGGACAUAAACAUAUUCAAAUUAUUAACUAAGUAAUACAUAGUUUUAUAAGUAACGAAUUUUAUAUCAUAAUACCACCGCCUUUGGGAGAAAGCAUCAGGUACAAAAAAAUGUUGGUACUCAAUAAUUUACAUGGACGAGAUGUUUUGCAGGAUCGGAAUGGUGAACCCUUAGAGGUCUGAAAUAUGACCACUUCUCUCAAAUCAUCUCUGAAAAAAUAUAAAACAAAAUCACAAUCAGAAAACCAAAAACAAAUAUGUGUAUAUAUAAGCUUAUAAUUCUAAACAAUAAUAUAAAUCUACAAAUCAAAAAAAGAAAAAUAUUCGCAGCACAAAAAGAUGCUAUUGAAAUGAUUUAGCUGAGAGAUGUUAUCAAAUUGAGUAAAAUUUUUUUACCAGAUUGAGGAACAAAGAUGUUAUCGAAAUGAUAUAUCAAAGAGGUGUACAAUCAAAUCAUAUAUAGCUUCAGUGGAGAAAUCGUCAUAAUAGGGUAUCUGCAUAUAAACCAAAAGAAAAAUCAGCUCUCAUGAAAUAUAAAAGCUUAAUGUUCUAAAAUAAGAAGAAAAAAAAGUUAUAAACGUUAUAUUAUGCCAGCGGAAAAAAUAGUUACAACGAUCAAUAAUAAGCAGUUGUACACAUAAGAUCUCCUAAAUACUCAUUGAUUUUUACAGAAAACAAGCCUACCAAGAUCCUAGACAGGUUUUUGAACAAAAAGACGCAUGACGGAUACAAAACCUAAAAAGUCUUGAUUCAAUUGGUAACCGCUUAUACAGAAAACUGAUGGAUCUACAUGCAAUAUAUUUGAAAGAAAAAACUAAAGAGAAAGAAAAUAAACUUACCGAAAGUUGGAGAGACUCAAUCGGAGAAGAAGUGAGAUGAAAGAUUUUGUUCACAAUUAUUCACUGCUGUCUUUAUAAUGUCUAGGGGACUCUCGAUGAGUCGUGUCUUUUCACAUUACUUAUCGAAAACAUAAAUUAUAAAUAUGUUAACUGUAUUUACCUUUCCAAUUAAUUGUUUUAUAUACCGACUUAAUCAUAUUAUCCGUGUAUGUUUUUAUUAUAAAUAUGAUAAUUAUUUUCUUCCAAAAUAAUCUCGAUAACCUUUAUCUGAAAAAGGUUAUGCAUUAAACUCCUGUUUUUUUAAUAAUUUUCGAUUUUUACUUCCUGUACAAAAAACCCAUUGUUUGCACUACCUUGGGUUUAUAUCUACGAUCUCUUUGCAUGAUUUUUUUUUGAAAAAUGUUUAGUUAAAGAAUCUACAAAUUAAUAUACAAAUAAGUUUUCAUAUUAAAAAAUAUAGUCUAAUACUGUCUAUACAAAAAAACGUCAAAAAAUGGUUAUGCAUUAAACUUCUGUUUUUUUAAUAAUUUUCGAUUUUCACUUCCUGUACAAAGAACCCAUUGGUUGCACUACCUUGGUUUAUAUCUAUGAUCUAUUUGCAUGAUUUUUUUAGAUAAAUGUUUAGUUAAAGAAUCUUCAAAUUAAUAUACAAAGAAGUUUUCAUAUUAAAAAAUAUAGUCUAAUACUGUCUAUAAAAAAAACGUCAAAAAGUAUUUAAUAGUAUAGCAGCUACAAAAUUAUGGGCUUAAAUACUAUUCGGGCAAUAAAUUGGUUUUUAGUUGGGUAUUACAAAUGGGCUGAGAUUGUAUUACUACCAAUAAAAUUCGAAUAAGGGGGAUCAGUUUGAUAAUAAUGUUACGAUUAGUAAAAUUUCGGUUACAUUUUUUGGUUAUUCAGUAUUUCAAAUGGGCUAACUUUGUAUUUAUGCCAAUUUGAGCUUAAUACAAAAUCUAUUGUCAGAACCAACCAAAGAACUCUCUGAAUAAGGAAUUUUACCAAUGUAAUGAUUCUAAAACGUAAGCCCAUUGGCAUAAAUACUAAAUCAAAAUUCUGAGCCAACCAAAGAAAAGGUUGUCUGGUUUAGAUUGGAACAUGAUAAAUUUUUUUUUUUCCAAUUAAAAGCAAAAAACGAAGAUGGUCGGACCAAAUCUAAAACAAAACCAAAGACAAAGAUACUCAGACAAAGUUUUAAAAAAUGAAACAAAAACAAAGCCAUAACACUAUAAAGGACAGAAACUCAUCAAAAAGAGACAGCUCACUCGCCCUUGAGUUUCUUUUGCGAGAGUUUAUUGUUAACAGAGUGUUGAUCCUCAAGGCAACUGUCGUCAUCUUGUUCGCUUUUUCUUUUGGACAAAGGAGUUGCUGUAAAACCACCAGAACCAGAGGAAAUAUCAUCUGCGGACUCCAACAUUAAUACCUGCAAGAAAAGAUUUAAUCGUAUCACUAUUAUGCUCCUAUAACAAUCAAAUUAAUCGCACGUGUAUAUGGAAAAUUACCGGGUUAGAUUUAGGAGGCAAAUCAGCAAAUUCCUCAACCAUUUCACAGUCAUCAGUAGCCAAUCGAACAACAUACUGAGAACUCUUUCCCAGAAUGACGCACAAUUGCUUGAGCAUUAGCAUCAAACAACAGAAAAUUAGCCUCACCGCUAUCGUCCUUGACAUUGGCAAUUAAUUUGAACCUGAACAAAUCCAAAGACAAAACGUCACAGACUAUUUCAAUGACGAUCUACCUAACUGAUAUUUUAGUAUAUCUUACCCGGUCAAUACCUGGAAAUAACAUCACUGUGUUCUUUGUCACACGUAUUGCAGAAGAACAAGGGCCGGUCAUCAGCAUCAACAUUGGUUGUAGGCAUCACUUUUUUGUUAUGGUAUUUGCAACUUAGAUAUUGCCAGCCACGUUCAAUAUCAAUUGUUUCAAUGGUCCCCAGAGUAACAAAAGUGCCAACCUAUUAUUACUCAAUGAGUAUUUUUUAAAAGCGCUGAUAACACAUGGAGUAUACAAAUGUGUAAAAAAUUCAAAAGCGAAGAGUAUAGUCUAUAUACCACAGAGAUAUCAAUGAUCUCUCCGAUGGUUAGCCUCUCAUUAAGAACAAAAAACCUGGCACGAAUAGAAGUAGCAGUACCAACAGACCAUUGGCUACUAUCGUUGUUCGUAAGAGCAAGUGAAUCAUCAGGGAGACUGCCAAAUAAAAUAAUCACACUUUAUGUUAAAACGUUUCAGUGAAAACGAUGUUCAAAAAUCAAAACAAACAUCUAUAUGUAGUGAACUUCUCCAUAGGUUUCCAUCCGGUGAACAUCGGAUACGUACCUUGCUUUGAACUCCUCAAUAAAAUCAAGUGUUGGGUUGAGCAGGAUAUGGGUUGAAUUAUACCCGCUAGAUAUGGAGUAAGCACCUACAAAGUAUAUUAAGCUUAUUAAUAUGUUAUGCUCAGUAACAUUUUACACAAACCGGAAGAAUAUUAUUUACCUUUCCACUCUUUAACAGAACAGAAUCUGAUCACACAAAUAAUCAUGGUGGACAUGUUACUCCUACUGUAAUCGUAUACUUGUUUAGCAUAACUACCCCACAGAGUACACAUCAUCUUCACAUUACUGUAUAAUAUAAACUUAAGUUAAAUACAGUUAAUAGAUGUUUUCUUAGCAAAGUAUAAAUAGAUUAAAAAUCUUUCACUUUACUUACUUUACUUUGGGUCACACAACUCAACCAAGAGCCUCAUGUUGUCUUUUCAAAAAUAUAUAAUAUAAGUAAAUACACAAUUUUAAAAAAUGGAAAAAGUACAUUAAGAUUUAAAUAUCUAUUUUAAAAUAUAAAAUAUAGAUAUUACGUAAAUUAAAAUAUAAGAAAUGGAAAUAAACAUUNNNNNNNNNNNNNNNNNNNNNNNNNNNNNNNNNNNNNNNNNNNNNNNNNNNNNNNNNNNNNNNNNNNNNNNNNNNNNNNNNNNNNNNNNNNNNNNNNNNNNNNNNNNNNNNNNNNNNNNNNNNNNNNNNNNNNNNNNNNNNNNNNNNNNNNNNNNNNNNNNNNNNNNNNNNNNNNNNNNNNNNNNNNNNNNNNNNNNNNNNNNNNNNNNNNNNNNNNNNNNNNNNNNNNNNNNNNNNNNNNNNNNNNNNNNNNNNNNNNNNNNNNNNNNNNNNNNNNNNNNNNNNNNNNNNNNNNNNNNNNNNNNNNNNNNNNNNNNNNNNNNNNNNNNNNNNNNNNNNNNNNNNNNNNNNNNNNNNNNNNNNNNNNNNNNNNNNNNNNNNNNNNNNNNNNNNNNNNNNNNNNNNNNNNNNNNNNNNNNNNNNNNNNNNNNNNNNNNNNNNNNNNNNNNNNNNNNNNNNNNNNNNNNNNNNNNNNNNNNNNNNNNNNNNNNNNNNNNNNNNNNNNNNNNNNNNNNNNNNNNNNNNNNNNNNNNNNNNNNNNNNNNNNNNNNNNNNNNNNNNNNNNNNNNNNNNNNNNNNNNNNNNNNNNNNNNNNNNNNNNNNNNNNNNNNNNNNNNNNNNNNNNNNNNNNNNNNNNNNNNNNNNNNNNNNNNNNNNNNNNNNNNNNNNNNNNNNNNNNNNNNNNNNNNNNNNNNNNNNNNNNNNNNNNNNNNNNNNNNNNNNNNNNNNNNNNNNNNNNNNNNNNNNNNNNNNNNNNNNNNNNNNNNNNNNNNNNNNNNNNNNNNNNNNNNNNNNNNNNNNNNNNNNNNNNNNNNNNNNNNNNNNNNNNNNNNNNNNNNNNNNNNNNNNNNNNNNNNNNNNNNNNNNNNNNNNAACUCAUCAAAAAGAGACAGCUCACUCGCCCUUGAGUUUCUUUUGAGAGAGUUUCUUGUUAACAGAGUGUUGAUCCUCAAGGCAACUGUCGUCAUCUUGUUCGCUUUUUCUUUUGGACAAAGGAGUUGCUAUAAAACCACCAGAACCAGAGGAAAUAUCAUCUGCGGACUCCAACAUUAGUACCUGCAAGAAAAGAUUUAAUCGUAUCACUAUUAUGCUCCUAUAACAAUCAAAUUAAUCGCAGGUAUAAGCGGAAAAUUACCGGGUUAGAUUUAGGAGGCAAAUCAGCAAAUUCCUCAACCAUUUCACGGUCAUCAGUAGCCAAUCGAACAACAUACUGAGAACUCUUUCCUUUGAUGUUAUCAGCGUCAACUGAAAUCUCAAAAAGGACUCUCUUACCAAAGAGAUCGCUCACUGCUUCAGGUAAGAAGUCUUCAUCUUCAUUCUACAAUUACAUAGAUAGCGGUGACCCAAUAUAAUUUACUGUGUUAAUUGAUGUACAAUGGAAUUUAAAAAUGUACCUCGUCAUAGAGUUCAGCAGCAGAAUGACGCACAAUUGCUUGAGCAUUAGCAUCAAACAACAGAAAAUUAGCCUCACCGCUAUCGUCCUUGACAUUGGCAAUUAAUUUGAACCUGAACAAAUCCAAAGACAAAACGUCACAGACUAUUUCAAUGACGAUCUACCUAACUGAUAUUUUUGUAUAUCUAACCCGAUCAAUACCUGGAAAUAACAUCACUGUGUUCUUUGUCACACGUAUUGCAGAAGAACAAGGGCCGGUCAUCAGCAUCAACAUUGGUUGUAGGCAUCACUUUUUUGUUGUGGUAUUUGCAACUUAGAUAUUGCCAGCCACGUUCAGUAUCAAUUGUUUCAAUGGUCCCCAGAGUAACAAAAGUGCCAACCUAUUAUUACUCAAUGAGUAUUUUUUAAAAGCACUGAUAACACAUGGAGUAUACAAAUGUGUAAAAAAUUCAAAAGCGAAGAGUGUAGUCUAUAUACCACAGAGCUAUCAAUGAUCUCUCCGAUGGUUAGCCUCUCAUUAAGAACAAAAAACCUGGCACGAAUAGAAGUAGCAGUACCAACAGACCAUUGGCUACUAUCGUUGUUCGUAAGAGCAAGUGAAUCAUCAGGGAGACUGCCAAAUAAAAUAAUCACACUUUAUGUUAAAACGUUUCAGUGAAAACGAUGUUCAAAAAUCAAAACAAACAUCUAUAUGUAGUGAACUUCUCCAUAGGUUUCCAUCCGGUGAACAUCGGAUACGUACCUUGCUUUGAACUCCUCAAUAAAAUCGAGUGUUGGGUUGAGCAGGAUAUGGGUUGAAUUAUACCCGCUAGAUAUGGAGUAAGCACCUACAAAGUAUAUUAAGCUUAUUAAUAUGUUAUGCUCAGUAACAUUUUACACAAACCGGAAGAAUAUUAUUUACCUUUCCACUCUUUAACAGAACAGAAUCUGAUCACACAAAUAAUCAUGGUGGACAUGUUACUCCUACUGUAAUCGUAUACUUGUUCAGCAUAACAACCCCACAGAGUACACAUCAUCUUCACAUUACUGUAUAAUAUAAACUUAAGUUAAAUACAGUUAAUAGAUGUUUUCUUAGCAAAGUAUAAAUAAGAUUAAAAAUCUUUCACUUUACUUUGGGUCACGCAACUCAACCAAGAGCCUCAUGUUGUCUUUUCCUUUUAUUAUUUUGUUUUCCAGAGAGCCGAAGUUAACUAUUUGGCCAACCACAUCUACAUACCAAAAAUAAGACUCAAAUCAGAAACAGGUAGUAGUAAAGUGAAAGACUCUUUAACUGAGUAAGAAACUAACUCACCAACCAAACAGCUAUGGUCCAGAUUUCCACCAAGAAUAUCAGAGAAGUCCGCGAAAUACUUUUCGGGAACUGCACUUGGAAAAUCAUCAGCUAUUCCAACAAAUGUUGUGUGAAAGAAGCCAAUUUUGUAAGGAUGUGGCGUCGUACGGUAUUCACCAGUAGCAUCGUACACUUUGAACAACUGGAGGACAAUCGCCUCUCCCUCCCGUAGCUUGUCAUCGAAUUUUUUGAUGAGUUGUUCACCAACUGAAGCAUGAAUUCUUGUCCCCUAGAACAGAAAAAUGAAGUCUUUAUAUACGCAGAAUAAUUAUAUAAACGAUGGUUGAAAAAAAAAACAUAUUUAAAGUUACUUACUUCUUUAUCAACAACCACCAUUUCAAUGGUGUUUCCUGAUUCUUUGUUAUAGUUUCUCCACAAGCGAAGAAUCAUAACUUCUAUACGGGACGUAUCUUUACGUGGUUUUAAUUCUCUCACUAAAGAAACAAUAUUUUUUUUGUCUCGCACCAUUGCCAUUGUUCUUGUGAGAGCUGAAUGUUUGUAUUGAAGUUCCUUUCGGGUAUGUCAUAUAUAUAUUAAGCCGAUUUAUUUAUCAUAUUAAUGACCCCUAAUAAAGAUUGAAAUCGUUUAAAGAAAUAUUUUAAUUGUGUAUUCUCCUAAAUUGAUUUGCAUAUGAUAUGAUUUUAACUUGCGCAAGUAAUAUAAUAAAUACGAAGACAACUUCCACAAGUAAUUGAUUAGACUAAUAAGGAAAGUUAGUAAUAGGCAAAUCUUGCGCAAGAUGGGCUUAAUAUCUAUCUAGUGAUCUAAUUAUAUGGGCUUAAUAUCUCAUAAUUAAGAAAACCAAAAUUGAAAAUCAGAAAACCAAAGGACCGGAACCAGAAAGGAAUGAAACCGACUGAACAAACGGAUUUGCAUAUGCUUUAUGGAGAAGAGAAGGUUUACCUUAUCUCUGACAGUAUUAUCCCAUUAAGAUCUUAAUCAUUCUGCAAUUAGCAAUGCAACAGGCCAUUGGAAUUGUUUUGUAAAGCUCAAAAUAGUGCUAAUGAAACAAAAAAACAAACUUUAAAAUCAAUCAAUUAGAUACAAAAGAUUCAAAAUGUAAAUAAGCAAAAUGUAAUCAAUUAAGAAACAUAUGUCGAUUGGAAUCAGUGUUAUCCAACAAUCUUUGUAUCAUAGCUUAAAAGUCGAAUCCAAUCAAAGGUAUCAAAAAACGUUCGCAUCAUAUCUUAAAAGUCGAAUCUAAUCAGAGAACAAAAAAAAAAUUAAAAUUCGGAGAGACUCGAUAAACUUCACCUCGUCUGGUUGUCGAUGCAAUUAGCGAUGGAUAGGAUUGAGCCUUUGUGUUAUGAAGAACAAAACUCAUCUGGUCGGACUGUCUUCAUCAGAUUGAAACCAUCUCCCCCUUCAUUUUGACACGCGAUUGGAAAAAAAAAAGAAGAAAAAACUUCAGCAAAAACGGCUGCGUUUUUAAUGACGCGGAAGGAAUGAAAAAAUAAAUCAGAAAGAAAAAUUACAAAAAUUCAACUAAUAGAAUUAUAACGUUUUUUCUGAGAAGCUCCCUAUGAGUGCCACCUCAGCAGAAAUCACUAAAGUGACUUCUCUUUUAAUGUAUAGGGGGAUAUUAAUUUAUCUCGUCAUAGAAAGCUUGAAGAAAAUUUUUACAACAACCCAUAGAGUAAAAUAUGAUACCAAAAGCUUAGUUUGUUGCCCUCAAGCUCCUGGAAUCAUUAUGGUAGAUCCUGGAAACCACCGCUAGGCAUCUGUAUAGGUAUGUUGUUAGAUGGAGAUAUUGAGUAGUCAAUGUAAUUAUGAAACAUUACACUGGUGUCGUUGCUGUGUAGAGUUACCUCUUGUAGAAAAAAGGCCAUAUGCAUUUUCCUGGGUUAGUUUGUCAUCUCAUUGUUGACGACAACAAAAGUUGCGUUAUCAUUAUUGUCUGCGACAGCUAGCUCAACACAGAACCUUGAAAGACAAAAUGUCAAAUGUCUAAAGCAUAUAUAUAUAUAUAUAUAUGAAUGUAGUAUCAGGAAAUUAGUCGGUGUAUAUAAUUUGAAGCUGAGAACACCGGUGAUGUUGGAGGAAACACAAAUGUAGCAGGGAAGUGCCCGUUUUAUCCAACUUCCUGUUGCAGCCGGUGCAUGGGACAAAUGACCAUCCAUUUUGUUGGAAGACUCCAACAAUCAUAGCUUUACAGAGGAAAUCUGCUUCAUGUGUUUUAAAGAGAAAAUAAACUUGAUAUUUAGUGCUCGUAUUUUGAAGUUAGGAAUUACAAACAAUAUAUUCAGAAAGAACAAUAUAAAUACUGAAGAUUUAAUUGUAAAAGCCAUCUAAAAAGCCAUAUAUUCAGAAAGAACAAUAUAAUUACAAACUCUAUUCAUUACGUGAAUCAGUAUCAUCAAUCCCAUUAACCGUAGAAGCUCUUUGUGGUUUCAUAAUCUACUUGCCUGGUCCAUUGUGAGUUAAUUAUAACUGCUUCAGACCAUACACAUAAAGCAUAGUACGAUUAUAGCAAACAGAUUCACAGUAGCUUAUGUUUUGGUAGACUGUUUUCCUCUGCCAAUUGCAACACCAAAUUAUCUCUGUAGAAUUAGAAUCCAUAUAAUUGUCUUACGGGACAACUGGAAGCUUGAAGACAAAUAUCUAUGUUUUAAAAGAGAUGAAAAUACUUAAAUAUGAUAUACACAACUGCUCUGCUCCACCGGGAUAUGUAACACCACAUUCGGUCAAACCAUUCCUUUUCCCAACCUCCACAAACAGCCUCUUUCUUUCACACGCUCUCUCUCCUAAUCUCUCCCUCAGUUCAGUAGCAGCCACAACUCCUACUCAACCACCAUCUCCUUCGCCAUUUCCAUCGGAGACGAACUCUCCGACUCCACUCUCCCAUAGCUCGAUCCCACUACGGUGGUCUUAAACAGUCACCAUCGAUUAUAGAAGAGAAACAACAGAUCAGUGGUGAUAGAAAAAAAGAUCUCGUUACCUUUUAUUCACUGUUUUUAUGUUAUGGGAAUCCCAAAAGUGGAGAAGGCGACCGCAACAAACUGAGAAGUGCGACCAAGACAAAGUGAGUCGAACGUUGAGUGGCGGACAUCGGCUUGAGAAACUGGAGCACCAGAGAUCGAAUUUUUGGAGGAGUUGGUAUAACUGCGACGGCCAAGACUGUAUUUGAGAUGAAGGGAUUCUGUGUUCCCCAUGAUGUUAUAAAUAGGAAGGAAGAUACAUUAAUGGUUGACGGAGUUAAGAUGGGGAGACGUAGAGUUUGGAGAAGAUUCACUGCUUCAUUGAAAUCAAAGAGCUUUUUUUUUUGUUUCUCAGAGGAGACUGAGCCGAUUAAAACCCAAAUCUACAUCAAGAUGAAGAUAACGAAAAGAUCUGGUUUGACAUCGAAGAGGACGAUAAUGGAGUAAGGGCUUUCGUGGGAAAAUAUCUUCUCGACCUUAUUGGCCUAGUGUCACAAUUAACAUCAUACUAGAUUUGGAUCC